This 59911-nucleotide long non-coding RNA is filed under the name Oryza sativa (Asian cultivated rice). RNAcentral describes it as "long non-coding RNA (OSAT_LNC001976)". The stretch from base 16232 to 16436 matches the Rfam family "MIR812 microRNA precursor family". Lineage: Eukaryota; Viridiplantae; Streptophyta; Magnoliopsida; Poales; Poaceae. The record is from RNAcentral.
UUCACUAGCGAAAGACUUGAAGAAGGAAGCAUUAUGAAGGGGAGUACUCUUCUUCUACUGAAUGCGUAGAGAGCUCCGGAUUCUUUAGCAACUAGGAGAGCGACAGAGCUUCUUUUUUGAAAAGGCUAAAUCCCUUUCUUCAAUCCCACCUGCGGAGGCCCCAGUCUUUUUAUUCCCCCUAGCAUCUGUCACGGUCACAAAGGUCUUAUUUUUCAUUCGGGUCGGUCACUUUUCCGGGCCGGGAUCGAGAAGUGGAAGUCAUAAAAAAGAGAUGUUUCUCUUCGCACCUCAGAUCAAGAGGAAAGGUAGCUUGUCAAGCUGGUCUCACUAUUGGAAAUUCUAGCUUUGUAGAUCGUGUGUCCUGCGCAUUGAUCCGGCAGCGAGACCCGCCCUCCUGCACUUGGUUGACAAACCCUGAAACCAUAACACAGAUUUCAAUCUGCUCUUGGAAAUCCUCGAAUAGAAAGCCCUUCUCAAGAAAGUGAGCCACUCAAUCUGAGCCAGCGGAUUCUCAUUCAGCUGUGCCGGUGCGCAAAGUAAGCACGCUUAGACAACGAUGUCCUCAGUCAAAUCCAAUUCAAUAAAGAACAAGAAAAUGUAGGUGAACAAAGAAAGAAGGCAACUGCACUGCUUCCUGUGGGAAAGGCCAUGUUAGGCCGUGUGGUCGACGCCUUGGGAGUACCUAUUGAUGGAAAAGGGGCUCUAAGUGAUCACGAACGAAGACGUGUCGAAGUGAAAGCCCCCCUAACCUGAUUUUGAUGUCUUCUUCGUUCUCAGUCCCUAUGGUCCAUUGUAGGAUGAUUUUUCUAAGGCCUUGAAUUCGUUGGCAAGGUGAUCAGGGUCCUCUCCCUGGUCCUAUCGAACCACAAAAUCAAAAAUUCAAUAAAAGGUCAUAAUGGUCGGAAGCUGUUCACUACUUUAGAACCAUCCAGAAGGCAAGAGAAAAAAGCACCUGAGGUCAGGUGUUUCUUAGGAGCAUUCAGCCUUUUCCUUCAGCUUAGCGCCCUUACUUCUACUUCUCUCUAUUAAGCUGCUCUCUGGGUCCAUCCAUAAGCAUGCAUACUGGCGCUCUCUUAUUGGCUAUACACACACACACACACACAUAUAUAUACAUAUAUAUAUAUAUAUAUGUGUGUGUGUGUGUGUGUAUAGUACUUUUAGAUUUGAUUAAAUUACUUCCUAUACAUUCAUAAUGCUACGAGGUGACUACCUAUUAUUGUUUUCAGUCAAUUCCGUAAUUUGUGCUGAUUAAUUUAGUUUCUAGAUAGAGUUAUGUUUUUAUCCCUACAAUGGAAUUACCCCUAAUGUUAUGACAAAGUUACUUUCGUUUUGUCUGAAGUUACUUCUAUAAUAUAUGUAAAUUACAUUUAAACUUUAUUAAAUUUACUUUUGUAUGUCUAAGAAGUAAUUUAGUGAUAUCCAAAAGUAAUUUAGAUAUAUUAUUGUUAACGACCCAAUUUGGUAAUCCAAGGAUCAGAUGUGAAGGAGGAAUCGAGAUAGAGAUUGUCCCGGAAACAGAGUGAAGAUCGGCUGAAGUCCGAAUCGGCUACGACUAAGAUCAGCAGAGUUCGAGUCGGACGGGGUUAGCCGAUUGAGCCGAAUCCGACAAUAUGACACAACAUAUGUUGUCGGUUUAGGUUGACGUGCUUCAUGACGAUUGCCACGCAUGGAUAGAGUCCUGAGAAGGCAAUUGUAUCUAUUAGUUAGUAUAUUUUAUGUAAUUUCCUUAGAGAUAUGUUUAGGUAAAAGUCUGUUGCAAAGACUUAUGGUAUCUUAGAGUUUGUUAGAGAUAAGAGUCGUGUCCGAUAUGAACAUAUUUUGUAAUUCUCGGGUAUAAAUAGAUCCGAGCCCCAUGUAAUCAAACUAACACACGUUCAAUACAAUCUCGGCGCAUCGCCACUCUUUUAUUUUCAUUUUGUUUCGACGAGUUCUUGCUUUCAGGUUGAGCUGCAUAGGUUUCGAUCUUCAACAAGAGGUAAAACUUGUUAUGGUGGCUUGCGUUCUCGGGAUUAGUGCUUCCAUCUUCAUGAUACUUUAAUCUUGUUUAUGUAAUUCGACGAGUUAUCAUAUAUCUUAUAUAAUCUCCGGCAAUAUCGCUAUCUAACCUACAAUCGGCUAACAUUUGUUACUAGAAGGCAGCCGAUUAGGUUAAAUACCGAUGUUGACUUAGAUUAUAUAGGAUAUCUACCACUCUAUGACAUAUCUUAUGACUUGAUUGUAUAUUGUCCUUCUUUUCAUACUUAUAGCUUCAUCAGUUGAGUUUGAUCUUAUGAGUCGUGAUUAGAAUCUUAAUCUCUAGCCUGUCUUUGGUUGCUGAUUAGGGUAGUAUUGGGGUUUCAGCCGAUCUUAUCUGAUUUAACUACAUUUAUCCUACAUGCUUCUUUGACAUGUUAAAUUUGCCCUUUAUGUUAAGAUCUCGUUGCAUUUAAGUAUAUUAGGCUUUUUGUUUGAUAUAUUCUACUCGCUUUAAUAUCCUAAUAUAGAGUAGUAUCGGAGUAUUAGCCGAUACAUGCUAGAUCUAUCUGAUCGGCUAUGCUAUGAACACAUAUAAUCUCAUUAUUAGUAUAUAUUUCGAUCUAAGUGAUUUAUACUGUCUCGGCAUGACGACCGAUCUAUCCCAAUCACUUGAUUUAAGUAUAUAUCGAUCUAAGGAUUAUAUAUUGUUAAUAUCUGCAGCCGAUCGAGUAGAUUUAGUUCUUUGUUAUUUCUUAAUGACUGCCGAUCGAUGCAAAUAUGACGUCGGCUCAAGGAUAAAUGAUAUCUCAUCGGCACUUAGCCGAUCGGCUAUCGUUUAUGGAUUUAACCGCGAUUUUCUUUGUCUUAGUUUCCUGUUGAUUGUAGGAUCAAAUCAACUGGCACGCUCACACACCCAAAGGCAAGUUUUGGACCUGCACUGGAGUUAAGCAGAUCUCCCAGGCCUCGUGUUUUUACAUCAACAAUUAUAAAAGUAAUUUGUAAGUUUUCAUCAUAAUAUAAUCAUGUUAGAUCUUGUUGUAAAGAUUUAAUUGCAACGAACACAAUGGUGUAAUCGGAUUGUAGACCGGAUAAGUAAUUUGAGAGAAAAUUUUAUAAGAAGGGAAAAAAGACAUGGAUGCCUAACAUUCUGAUGCUUCUCUCAAAUUCUAAACUCUGAUGCUUCUCGACUAAAUCGGAUGGCCGCGCCAGGUAUCACUGCGUAAGACCAGAUCAAGAGGCCUCUCGUUAUAGAUUUUACGUUUUCUUCUAUAAAAGGCAAAAUAUGGAUGGAUGCUAUUAUUCUAUAUUUUUAUAAUAAAAGAGAUAAAUGUGUUUCAAAUCUACAGUCCAUUUGGCUGUUAACGGUCGUUAAGUGCAAACUUUAGGUAUUAAUUCAUGCAUAAAAGAUAUCAAAUAUAUUAUCAAAACUUAAUCGUAGUAGUUUACUACUAAUCACUUCCAAUAGUUUUAGUAAAUAUAUGUAUGCAGGUCAUUUAAUGAGAAAAUACACUAGUCAUGCGAUGAAAAUGACCCUCCAACCAAUCAUGCACGAGUACCAGGAUUAGAGGGCCCACCUGACAAAUGAAACCGACUUAAAGUGGGGCCAAACCAUCCUAACCGCGAUAAGGGCCCACCAAUCAGUCUCCUAGUCAACAGAGAAGACUAGGAGGUGGAGCCCAGGGGUCACCCGAACCCCUGGUUCAGCUGAACCACCUCUGGCGCAUCUCAUCCUAGCCUUCCAUGUCUAGGUCCCAAAUGGCUUUCCAAUGAUGGUUAUGCCCGAUUCUCGGCCUGGAUAACUGUUACAACCGUCAUAUAGAGGCUAUAAAAGGAGGAGCUCAUGCACCUUCAACACACACAACUUGAGCUCAACUAGAGUAUAGCUCACUUGUAGUUUAAUAUUUAGUAUGUUGGCUUAGUAGAGAGUGAAGGGAAGCUCUAGAAGGAAUUCUCCAAAAUAUCAAAGUUCCUCCAAGAAUUUCACGAAGGAGUGCCGGAGUGUUAACAUUCUUGCAACGGAGUUUCGAAGAAAGUCGGAAUUGUCAGCCAUCUUCUCUCGCUUGUACCUCGACAGAUGGUUCUUUUGUCAAAGUAAGUGUUCGAGUUUCUUUAUGUUCUUUAAUUAGUUUAUUUAAGAGAGUUAUAUUCUCAUCGGUGCAGGUUUGUCGCUUAGUGUGCAAUUUAGUGCUCUAGUACUAGGACUCUGGAUAAAGAAGGAACUUCCUUUUUGAGUUAAUGCAAGCUGUUGGGUGUUGAGUCAAUCAGUGUAGAAAAACAAGGGUUAAUUGAAUCCAUGCCACUACAAAUGUGUCAAAUCAGAAAAACGCCACUACAAUUCGUGAUAUCCACUUGGUGCUACUGAAAUUUUGUAAAAUUAUAAUCAUUUCUUCGCCGUUCACUUUUCUGUCAUCCUCGUAAGAUCCACAUCCCUUCCCCAUCCGCUGUCGUGCCCUCCUUCUCCGGCGUACGCUAGAGAGACGAAGACGAGCAAGAUGCGUGGCGAGCGAGCGGCCGUACUGGCGAGCGGUGGGACCAGCAAGCGGCGGGAUGCGCAUCCCGCUUGCCGCCGCCCUCACCGACGAGCUCUCCUCCUGCUCCGCCCCUUCCCCAUCGCCAUCGUUCCCUCUGUCUCCUCCGGCACAGGCUGGAGACGAAGACAAAGACGACGAGCGGCGAGCGAGAGGUGGGACCAGCAAGCUGCGGGAUGGGCGUCCUGCUCGCCGCUGCCCUUGCCGAGGAGCUCUCAUGCCCUCCUGCCCCUUCCUCAUCGCCGUCGCGCCCACUUCCUCCUCUGGCGCAGGCUGGAGCCCAGACGAAGACGACAAACGGUGAGCGAGUGGCGGGAUGCGUGUCCCACUCGCCGAGGAGCUCUCAUGCCCUCCCGCCCCUUCCCCAUUGCCGUUGCACCCACCUCCUCCUCCGGUGCAGGCUAGAGCCCAGACGAAGACGACGAGCGGUGAGCGAGUGGCGGGAUGCACGUCCCGCUUGCCGCCGCCCUCGCCGAGGAGCUCUCCACCCGUCCCGCCCCUUCCCCAUCGCCAUCGUGCCCCCUUCCUCCCUCGGCACAGGUUGGAGACGAAGACGAAGACAACGAGCAGCGGUACCGGCGAGCGGCGGUGGGAUGCGCGUCCCGUCCUACCCCUUCCCCAUUGCCGUUGUGCUCUCCUCCUCCUCCGGCGCAGGUUGGAGACGAAGACGAAGAUGACGAGCGGCAGGACAGGCGAGCGGCGUGGUGCGCGUCCCGCUCUCAGCCGCCCUCGCCGAGGUGCUCUCCACCCGUCCCGCCCCUUCCCCAUCGCCGUCGUGCCCUCCUCCUCCUUUGGCGUAGGCUAAAGCCCAGAGGCGAAGACGACGAGCGGCGAGUGAGCAGCAGUACCAUCGAGCGGCGGGGUGCGUGUCCUGCUCGCCGCCGCCCUCGCCGAGGAGCUCUCCUGCCCUCUUGUCCCUUCCCCAUCGCCGUCGUGCCCUCGUCCUCCUUCGACGCUGCUUGGAGAUGAAGACGACAAGGAGAUGAAGGCACCGUGACAGAAAAUGUGACAAAAAUGACGGAAAACGUGAUGGAGUGUCAUGGUUCUAAUUUUAGAAGAUUUCAGUGGUAUCUACCCUGUCGAGGGAAGACCCUCAAUAGCGGGGAGUCGUGAGACCCUCCUUUCGUGAGUUCGGCCGGAGGCUCGUCUCUCGUUAGUCGCUUGCUCGUCCCUACGACUCUCAGGAGUGAAUGCACGCAGUCGGAUUAUACAGGUUCGGGCCGCUAUUGAGCGUAACACCCUACUCCUGUGUUUGGGAUUAUGGAUGAGUUUUACAAGGGUUUUUUUUCCUUGAGAGAGCGCACUUGCUUCCUCUCUUCUGGAGUUCGGGUUUUCUUUUUCUUUUUUUGGCCCUCUCCCCCCUCCUUUUCUUUCCUAGGUGGGCAGGGUCCUCCUUUUAUAGCUUAAGGGGAUACCACAUGUGCCACCUCUACUUCCCCUCCAUGGGGGGGGGGGGAAACCCCACUCCACCUUUUUGGGUUUCAAACCGUGCCUUCUCUCGGAAGCUAACCAAUAACCGAUUCUUGCGCGGAACUCGGCGCCGUCCCCCCUGACACGGGGGUCAGCCCUGUCAUUCCCUUAUAAAUGAACGAUGACAUGCAACAGCCCUUCCUCGAGUAGCGUCCGGAUGUGACGGGUCAUACCCACCCCCACUCCGCCGGGGACAAGGGCGACAUGAGGACAUGAUUGCCUUAUCCAUCGGAUGGGACGGAGACGGGCCGGUCACAAACCGGUCAUACCCGAUGGACAGGGGUUAGCUAGGCGCGCCGCACGUCUGUCCUGACCGCAUUAAAUGCGGUGAGGGACAGUUGGGGCGUCGCACAUUUAUGGCUAUUCAGCCUGCGCUCCCUUCUUGCUCUCUCUCUCUCUCUGCCGCGCGGCAGCCGAGCGAGGGCCUCGGGGCGAAGCCGCGGGAGAGCCCGAGGGGGUGACGUCAUGCCCCGAGGCCCCCCCCUCCCGCGCUUCUACGACUCGCGUGGCGCGCGAGUGGGGCCAACCUGCGGAGUCACGUGGCCGGAAGGAAAAUAAUUCUCCUCUACUCCACAUACCCCCGGGCCCAUAUCUCCGACAUACCCGAUUUCAUGAAUAGUAGUGGCAUUUUUCCAAUAUGGCAUAUUUACAAUGGCAUGGAUCCAAUUAAGGGAAACGAAUGGGCCAUAUUGUUAACAUUUGUGCUUGAGAAGCCUACGAGCCCAGGAGGCCGAAACUUCAUUUCAUCACAGAAAAAGUACACAGAAGGUCCCUCAACUUGUCAUCGAGUUACAAAAUCAUCCCUGAACCAUAAAACAAGAUAUCCGGCGUCCCACAACUAAUCAAAACCGGUCACUUUAGGUCCUUCGGUGGUUUUGACCCUAGAUUUAUCCAACGUGGCGUCUGAGUCAGCGUGGGACCCACGUGGGCCCCCACGUGUCAGUAUGCCACAUCAUCAUCCUCUCUCUCCCCUCCUCUCCACUCUCCCUUCCUCCUCCUCCUCUCUCUCUCUCACUCUUCUCUUCUCUUCUCUUCUCUUCUCUAGGCGAGCUGGCCAGCAGCUAGGGAGGAGGCCGCCAGGGCGAGGCAGGAGAGGAGGAGGCAGCGGGCGGCGGCUGUGACGCGGGGGAAGGUCGUUGAGCAGCGAGCAGCAGGGAACAACAGAGGCUGAGCACGUUGGCGCACACACGCAGCUUCAGCGCGUCGCGUGGGCACGACGACGACCCGGUGCUGGCCGCCACGGCCAUGGUGAGGAGGCUCACCGCUAGAACAAGCACCGCCUUCGCCGCCAUUGCUAUAGAUCGAGCUUUGCUAGGCUGCUAGCUUGUACUUGUAGCUAGCUCGAGCUUGCACUGCUACUGCUGCUUUGCUGUGUGCUGGGCCUGGGAGUGUUCAUGGCGAGGUGUAUUGUGUAUUUAUAGUGGCCUUGGAGAAGAAGAUGAGAGGAAGCGACGGCGCGGGAGCACCGGACCAGGAGGGCCUCCCCCCACGCCGCCCCCACCGCCACCGCCACCGCAACCGGCAGGUGGGAAGGAGGCCGACGGGGCGAAGCGGGGAGGCCGGUGAGUCUGCAAAGUCGCAGAUGAUGCCGCCGUGAUGAGGUGCUCCUCCUCUUCGACGGAAACGGGGAGCAGGCCCACGCCAUGGGCGUCGAGCUCGACCUCUCCGACAAGCCCGCCGGGCUCGACGUCCGGUCUCGCCGCUACGCGUUCCUGGCAGAGGACGGCGCCCACUGGGUCUAGCCGAUGGCUGCCACUGCCAACGUCAAGCUCCUCUCCGACGGCCGCUGCUUCUUUCCCCGCUAGUCUUCGCCAGCUAGCGUCGCUGCUGCCAACGAGGGCCAACACCGCCAAGUUUAGGAGGACGCGCGGGCGACCGCUGGAGUCGCCUCCCGUCGAGCAGAGCGGAGAGCGAGACGACGCAAGGCGAGGGCGAGGAAGAGGCUGUCGCCGGUGGCGCCGCCGCCGCGUCCGUCUCCACCUCCGCUCCUCUCCCCGCCCAUCGUCAGCCUAGCCCCGCUCCUUCCUCGCCGCCCGUCGCGCCGGCCCUCCUUUCCACUGCACUCCCCCCUGCUGGCCGCCAGCCACGCCCGCCGCACACGACCCUCCUCCCCUGCCGGCUGCUAGAUGCCCCCGCCGCACACGCUGGGCCAGGGCCUCCUCCCAUGCUGGGCACCGGCCGUGCCCGUCGCGCUGGCCCUCCUCCCCUGUUGGCCGUCGGACACGCACGCCGCACUCGCCGCGCAGGACCUCCUCCUCCGCCAGCCGCCUGCACUCAUCCCCUUCCGGCCGUGAUCCUGCAGAGGAGAAGUGAGAGAGAAAGGAAGGGAGAGGAGCUUACGUGGCAUCCUGACAUGUGGGCACAUAUGGGUCUCAUACUGACUCAGCCGUCACGUAGGAAAAAACUGGGGUCCGAGGGACCUAAAAUGAACGGCUCUGUGAGUUGAGGUACGUCGAAUACCUGGUGUGGUUCGGGGAUGAUUUUGUAACUGGAUGACAAGUUGAGGGACCUUCGGUGGACUUUUUCCUUUCAUCACCGGGCGGCAGUCCAACGGCCGGAAAAACCAGAGAGAGAGAGAGAGAGAGGAGGAAAAACAAAAACAAAUCAAAACCCUAACACAUCCCAGCGGCCUCCUCCGCCAUGCCAUCGCCGCCGCCGCCGCCGCAGCCGUCGCCGCCGGAGCUGCCGAUCUCGGAGCACGAGGACGAGAUCAUGGCUGCGGUGGAGGCGAACCCAGUGGUGGUGGUGAUCGGUGAGACCGGCUCGGGGAAGAGCACCCAGCUCUCCCAGAUACUCCACCGCCGCGGCUACACCCGCCGUGGUGCCAUAGCCGUCACCCAGCCCCGUCGCGUCGCCGCCGUCUCGGUUUCCAGGUAACCCGACUCCGUGCUUCGCUUGUCUUCCCCCACGGUGGCACGGUCGCACCUGCGCGCGCUCGUUGUUAUCUGCUACCUGGGAGUUUAGUACAACUUCCCCCUUUCUAUUCAUGUUGUUAUUUUCAAAUGUUGGUUUCCUUUUAGCUCAGGGUACAUUCUUACUGGGUUCGUGUGGGUCUGGUUAUGCCUGAAAAGCUCUCAGAUGUGUUGGAUUUUGGCCAUUAGCACUUAAGGGAUACGAAAAUUGCAGAUUCAUCUUGAAAUUUAGAAUCGUGAUGGUGGAGAUACGAGAACAUCGUUUGUAAAAACUGCAGCUGCUUUCUGGAUAGCCAAGCCAUUUAUUUUAAUUUAGAAGUGUUUUAAGGGGAGAAAACUUAAGAACCUGCUUGUUAAGAAAUUUUGAAGUGGUUCUUCCUGGCGAGCAGCACUAUGUUUACAGCAUAUGCAUAUUUAUACAUGUACAGAGAAGAAUAGUUUUCCAGUGUAGUCUUGUGCUAUGCCUAUAUUCAAGUGUGGAAAAUGUUUUUUAGGAUGCCAUUAUGAAUGCUGGCAAUCUGAAUAUUUGCAGGAGAGUAGCACAGGAGCUCAGUGUUCCCCUUGGUGAUGAAGUUGGUUAUGCCAUCCGAUUUGAAGAUAGAACUUCAGAGAAAACCUGCAUAAAGUAAGCCUCAGAGGGUGUUUAUGUGACUUGAAUUUCUUCUUGAACAAUAUGCGAACUCAUUCUAUUUUCGGAUAUGCAGGUACCUGACAGAUGGUGUUCUUCUGCGCGAAAGCCUUUCAGACCCUGAGUUGAAGCAGUAUUCAGUAAUUAUUCUGGAUGAAGCUCACGAGCGCAGUUUAAACACGUAUGCGUUUUAUAUGUUCAACUGAUCUAUAAGAGUUUGAAUUAAAGUUUAGCACUUUAUCAAGUUUGCUGCUUACUCUUCAGUUAUUCCACACCCAUUUCUUGUUGUUUGAAUUGAAAACUUGUGAUUUGAAAACAAAAUAAGAUAAUUACCGGGAAUGGGUCAUACACUACAUUUAGUUAUAGUAAUAUGCUAAACUUUUGUUGCUUAUACACUACAUAGAUUUACCCAAGAUUGAUUGCAUGCCUGUUGAACUUUUGUUGCUUAUGUGUCCGGUUUUUGGAACAGUGAACAAAACAGUGCUGGGAAGCCAUUCUGUGUGCCAUGAAACUGGGAGUCAACAUAAAUGUAUUGGUUAUAUUUGGUCUUCCUGUACCUAUUUUAUAUAAAUCAACUUAGCUUUGCCUUUUCUUCUGAUGCGUUCUUUCUCUACUGCUAGGAAUUAGUACCUAUACGAUAUUUUCACUCACAAGUAAUGUAGACAUCUAGUAUGUGUUCUCAAAAUUGACUUUGAUAUAAUCGAUAGUUCUCUAUAUUAGAUGUUUACCUGGACAACUUUGAAUGGGAGGGCCUCGGAUCGCAAAUGCCUAGUAACUAUUUACUAACUGUAGGAUGCAACUUUACUGUGGUUUUCGUUCUCCAUAUUUUGCCCAUAUUUAUUAUAAUUGGUUCUCAGAUGCUUCAAUUGUAAGCUAGCAAUUGUAUUUUUAAAGUGAUCGAUAGUCAGUACUAACUUUUUCUUGUUUGGCAUCGGCCACACGACCGCUGGAUUUUGUUGCUAUUUGUUGAAAGCUUUAGUCGCGUUCUGAUAUUUGUUUGUUUACAGUGAUAUUCUUCUAGGUUUAAUGAAACGAUUAAUUAAGGAUCGAGCUUCAGAUUUGAAAGUUCUGAUCACUUCUGCUACUCUUGAUGGUUUGAAAGUGUCAAAGUUCUUCUCUGGAUGUCCUGUGUUGAAUAUCCCUGGAACCUUAUUCCCUGUGGAGAAGUUUUACAGCACAGAACAUCCAACGAAUUAUAUAGAAUCUUCUCUGAGAACCGCUAUAGGUAAUUAUCAUUUUCUUUAUGUGGCUAUAUUUUAAACCUUGACAAUGACAUGUGAAUAUUGUUGGUGCAUCUCUAUUAAGUCACUAUGUGUUAUUUCACUACUGGAAUACAUCAAUCAUUGUCAUAACAGAUAAGCUAUGUAACAAAUGUCAUGGAUGGUUUUGAUAUGUGCCCAUGAAUGGGCUAGCAUUAUAGUGGCAAGAGGGUAACUAGGCCAGUUUCCCUUGAAUCUCUCUUACAGUAUUCGUCCUGCUAUGGUCAAGUUGGAUGGACAAAUAAUGUAAAAAAAAAAGAUGAAAUAAGUGCUGGACCUGCUACACCUAUGAAUAACCUCUUUAAAGCUCUGGCGAAUUUGGGAUGUGUCUGUAUCUGAUGGCUCUUAUUUAUGUUAAGUACACUCCGCACUGGUUUUACUAACAUUAUAAAACAUCAUUUUAAAAAACUACUUUUUUUAAAGCCAUAUCUUGGGAUACCAUCAUGGUUGUUAAGGCGCCCCUAAGGCGGUAAGGCGCUGCCUCCGCUUUACGGGAAAAACUAGAGAAAGGGCAAAAUCAAGGGGAUAAACCAAUCCUGGAGAAGGAGCGGCAGCAGGGGAAGGGGGAGGAAUGAAAAUAGCUGACCUAUGUGGUUGUCGCUGUCGUCCCCGACCACUGGCAAAGCCAGAUCCACCUUCCUCGAUGCCCAGCACCACCUGAUGAUGAGGAGCGGUGGCGGCAGGGGAAGAGGGAGGACCAGAGGGGAUGGACGCGACGGCUGCGGAGAGGUCUUGCCGUCGGUGGCAGUGGAGCGGAGGCGAGUAGGUGGCGCCGAUGGGAUUGAGGAUGGGGAUGGGGACGGGGAUGGGGAUGGAUAGAUAAAUAUCUGUCACCAUCUUCCAUUUUAGUCCUUGGACUCUAGAUAUUACAAAGAAGUCCUUCAUUUCCUAUUUUCAUCUUCCAUUUUAAUCCUUGGACUCUAGAUAUUACGAAAAAGUCUUUCAUUUCCUAUUUUUCUAUCUGUAUAAGGCGUUGCCUCGCCUUAUGCCUUACUGCCUAAGGUGUAAGGUGUGCUGGGUCCUCGCCUUACGCCUUACCGCCUUAACAAUACCAUGAUUUUUUUAACGAAAUACACAUAUUAGUGUCAGAGGAGUAUGUCUGCUGACAUAUGAUUUAUAUUCAUGCUGGAAAAAUCAAAUUUUUUAUUAUUUGAAAAUAAUAACAAUAUAUUUUGUUAAACUUUUGGGCCAUGGUGUUUCAUAUUUGCUUAACUAUUUGAUAUCUAUACUCCUUUAAAAGAAGACAAUGGUGGUGGCAGUGAAUCUGCCACCCACCAACUCUGUUGUAUUUUUUUACCAACUACUCCUAUGUGUACUUUAAUUUUAUAAAACAGUACUUCUACAUAUUGUUAAUAUCUUAUUUCAUCCCUAGAAUUUAUGUUUACCAUGCAAAGACAUCCACAGGGAAUCAGGGAUGAUAUUGUUCCAAAAAUCUUACAAUUAACUUGUUCCAAACAAUGUUAGCACAUGUAUAAUUCAUUUUUAUCCAUAGCAAAUCACAGGUAUUUAGCUAGUGUUUCUAACAGUUCCAAACAUUCUUUUUCUUCAACAGAUAUUCAUGUUAAGGAAUCCCCUGGUGAUGUCUUAAUAUUCAUGACAGGAAAGGUUAGCAGAAUAUAUAUUUUUUUUGCAUGCUUGAGCUUGAUGUUUCUGAAACUUUGAAGGAUAUUUUUUUUGUUCUAUUUGACACUAAGGAUAUCGUCAGAGAUAUGCUAUAAAAUCAGUAAUACUCCUGGAUUUUUGGGCUUUCAUCUAGUUAUAAUUUAAUGCCCCAAAACAGCCCCGUGUUUACUUUAUUGUAUAUCUCUACUACUUAAAAGCGGAGUCCUCCUCCUUACUCUUCUUCCAUCGUGUAAUCAGUUGUAUCUCGAUUCUCCCUCCAUCCCUUCUCUCACCCCACCGCCCAUAAGUGGUUGGGUCUCGAUUCACACUCCCAACCCAUCCCUAGUCAUAUGGGCCCAUGCAACCCAUUCUAAUCAUAUGGGCAUGUUGCAAUGCAUGGGCAUGUUACUAGUAUGGCAAAAAAACACAACGUUUACUGGUCUGUUUUUGGAACACUGAUUAACUAAACAUUUAUGGAUCAAUGGAUGAUCUCCAUUUCUUUGCUAAACUUUUCUCCCUUUCUUUUGUUGUACUCCGUACUUACACAGACCUUUUGAAUUAAUUGAAUGGUAUUUUGUCAGGAUGACAUUGAUAAGAUGGUAUCAAAAUUGGAGGAAAGAAUUCAAAAUCUAGAGGAAGGUUCUUGUAUGGAUGCUCUUGUCCUUCCACUUCACGGUUCUUUGCCACCUGAACAACAGGUAAUUCAUUAAUCUUCCAUUCUAGUGUAUUGUUAUAUUUGUUUCUUGCAUAUAUGACAUCCCAUGAAUGCUUGUAUAUGACAUUUUGGACAUGUAUGUGGUCUCCAAUAUGCGCCUUUGAAUACUUUGUUUGAUUAUGCUCAUGAAAAUUUCGUGGAGCUUUUAUAUUACUACCUCCGUUCUUUUUUGGUGACUUUUGGGACAUGACAUAGUCAUAAAAUUCAUUAUUGAUAGCGAUAUGAAAGUAUUCUUCAUGACGGGCCUAUUAAUUUCAUUUUCACCUAUAAAUCUUUUAGGUAUUCUUCAUGACAGGCCUAUUAAUGUCAUUCACCUAUAAAUCUUAUAGCGAUUAGGAGGUGUUUGCAUUUGUUUAUGAGUCAAGAUUCCAAGGUUUGACUGCACACGUUCUAAAACAUCAUCUGUUUGAGAAUAGACGGAGUGUGAAAUACUAUUAUUAACAAAUUUGAUAAUGUCAACUUCACCUGAAAUAUGUUUUUUAUAUACUGAUGUUUGAAUUUAAGGAAAUUUGAGUGUAUGUUUUAGAUUAUAAUACAAAUUUGAACAGAGAAUAUAUUUUAAUCUUUCAGUUACUUAAUCAAUUUAAUUUUUCGUAUAUGAGCUUAUCUAGUGAUCCAUAGCUACUGAACCUAAUAAACACACCUGGCCAUGUUUCUUCUCCAUUUCUCUAAUUGAUCAAUGAAGCUUGGCAUUGCAAUGUACAGUUCCUACACUAUUGCAGCUAAGUGAAAUUUCUUAGCAGGCAAAAGUCUUCUGAACAAGCCUUACAAUUACUUAUCUAGUAGUAGAUUAUAUUAAAGCAAAAUUUGUAAGAUUUUGUGAUGUCACUGAAAAAAAUUGCCAACUAGGAAUAUUUCAAUGUUUAUUUUUCCUUUUUUGUUGUGUGUAUUGCUUGCUGUUGAUCGACUUUCUUGGGGGACUAGAGUAUCUUUUUUAUUCUGUGCUUGCUGCAUUGCUGCAACAGGAUAACCUUGGAUGAUAUUUAACCAACCCCCUAACAAUAUAUGGCUAUGAUAGCAAAAUUUAACUACCUGGGGAUCACGUUCUAACAAAUGGAUGCACUGAUGGAUGCGAAUUAUAAUAGGCUCAACUGAGAGUUGAAAAGCAAGGUCGAUCCCGAUUUGUUGCCAAAGCUGCUGUUUUGGUCUAAUCUUUUUGGGUUUAAGCACACUUAUUAGUAUUUAUAUUCAUUAAUUGUCCUUCAUUCCAUUUGUUGGUAAAUGUUUGAUGCUCUAUAGUAUCAUUGCUGAUGUAUUCCCUUGUCACAAUAGGUCCGGGUAUUUGCUCCAGCACCUCCAAAUUGUCGACGCUUCAUUGUUGCAACAAAUGUAGCUGAAACAUCUCUUACUGUGGAUGGUGUUGUGUAAGCAGCAAACUGCAAACAUAGUCAGUUAAAGUGCACAUAUACUUUCAGUUUCCAUCUUCAGCCUUUUUUAUUUAUUUAGUGAUAGAUUAUUGUGUUUAUGAUGUAUUUAGCUGAUUUUGUGGAAAAGUAUAUGCAAAUAAAUACUUUUUUUAGAGUUAUGCAAGGAAAUGGCUAGAAUUUUUGUUAUGAACUACUAGUAACAUGCUAUUAAAUUUAUGAGAGUUACAUCAACUGAUCUGCUAGUAUCAGUUUUUGAAGUGUAUUUUUGUAAAAAAAAAUGGUAGGAGCAAAUGGCUAUAAUAUCAUUAAAUUCACAUGAAUGCUUAUAUUCUUAAACUUAAAAGGAAAAAAAUAUAUGGUUUAUAUGUUGAAUUCACAAACUAAUUAUCUAUUUGAUUUUAUAUAAAAGAAAUAUGCAUAACUUGGAGAUACCUUGUACAUGUCUAGGAGGAAAAAGCUUGAAUAUAGCUUUGCCACUCGCUCUUUAAUGUACGUACGAAGUUGUGAUUUGAGUAUGAUCUUUCAUCCUGAGAAAUUAGUGUUACGAUUAAAAUAAUGUGCUGAUGAACAUUUGUGAUUUCAUUAGCUGUUUUGUUAAUAAAUAAGAAACUGCUGAACUGAUAUUGCGUUAUCAAAAUUUGCAAUCUUUCUAUUACCCUGCUGAACUUGGAAUGGCUGCAAUUUUGUUCUUGGAGACGUGUUUUUUCCUUUUUCUUUUGGGUUUGUAUGCAAAUCACUAAAAUAUUUUUUUAUGCACUAGGUUUGUGAUUGAUUGUGGUUAUGUAAAGCAACGCCAGUAUAACCCAUCGUCUGGAAUGUAUUCACUUGACGUAGUUCAGAUUAGCAGGUAAAUACUAUGUUGCACACACUGUGGUUAUCUGUCUACUGUCUUCAUCUGUUCAACUAGAUCAUGAUCCUGUUCAGAGAUAUCUAGUUAUGAUCCAUAAUAUUUACCAUACUACUUCUUGAAUAACAAGAGUGCAGGCUGACCAGCGAGCUGGGCGAGCUGGAAGAACUCGGCCUGGGAAGUGCUAUAGGUUAUACCCAAUUUCCAUUUAUCAAAAGGAGUUUCUCGAGGCUACAAUCCCAGAAAUCCAGCGUUCUUCUCUUGCCGGAAGUGUUUUGUAUCUAAAAUCGUUAGAUCUACCUGAUAUCAACAUACUGAAGUUUGAUUUCCUUGACCCACCAUCUCGUAAGAUAAAACUCCAGAAUUCUCUAUUCUUAAUUAUAGCUCUUCAAUCUUCAUCCAUCUUUAAUGCUUUUUUGUUGUUAGAAAUCACUUUAUCUAUUGGAUUAGCUCCAAAAGGCAAACAUAGACAACGGCCAUUGGCAAAGGAAAACGAGAAGAACACCCUAAUCUACAGAAACUAGAUAUAUACUCCCUUCGUAUAUAAAUAUAUGAUCCCAUUGACUUUAUUCGUUCAAUUUUGGAAAGUUUUACCAUCAAUAGCUCUCAAAAUAUUUAUUUUGAAAACAUAAAAAAUCAUAUCGGUAGGUUUUUCUUUACAAGUACUUUUACAAUAUUAUAAUUUGUUAGAUAUUAUCGUUAUAUUCUAAUAGACAAGUAGUGGUCAAAGUUGCACACCAAAGAUUGAAUAAAGUCAAUUGCCAUAUAUUUGAAUACAAAUGUAGUGCUAUUCACAACAUAAGUAGCUGUUGGUAAAAUCUUGGUUCUGCAUGGUUUAACUUAAGUUAUUACAUUUAUUGUUCUAGGUCCAGCCUCCACCCAAAUACUUUCAUGGUGGCUGGACGAGCCUAUUUCAAAAGGCAUAUGACCUACUCCUUCCGUCCCAUUUUAAGUGCAAUCAUGAGGUUUCGUGCCCAACUUUGAUUGUCCGUUUAUUUGAAAUUUUUUUAUAAUUAAUAUUUUCAUUGUUAUAAGAUGAUAAAACAUGAAUAGUACUUUAUGUGUGACUUAUGUUUAUAAUUUUUUUUCCAAAAAACUUUCAAUAAGACAGACGAUCAAAGUUGGACAUAGAAAAUCAUGGCUACACUUAAAAUGGGACAGAGAGAGUACUAACCUUACGCUCCAUUUGGCACUGUGGUGGAUUAUGAUAAUAUCUUUUGAUGCACCUGUUUUAGGAGUUGAUGCCCGCUAACUCCUAAAGCCCAACAUGCAAGUGUGCCACAUGAUCACCCUCUAGCAUUUAUUAUCUAGAAUAUUUUAAAUCACAUGCAAGUGUACCACAUCAUCAUCCAUAGCAGUUAUUAUCUAGAGUAUUUUAAAUGUCAUGCAAACAUGACAUAUCAUUUACAAUUUUGUUGUAUUUUUAGAACUCAAUAUGCAAGCAAUGUCAAAUCAUUAUUUCCACAUCAUUUUUACAUUAUUUAAACAUAUACAUAUACCAUUUAUACAAUGUACAAUAUGCAUUCAUCCACAUAUCCCGCAGCAAAGCGCGGGGAUAUCAACUAGUAGCUUACUAUUCCUGUUUGGUAUCAGGAGAUCCUCAGUGAAACUGCAUCCACUUCUUUGCCUGUACAAAUUGUCUUGUGAAAUAAAAACUAGUAUUGUCUAUCUCUUACCUUUGAUGCACAAUGACCUGCAGGUGAAUCAUUAGAAGAUGCUUUGAGGCAAUUAUACCUCAUCGAUGCAAUUGAUGAAAAUGGGCAAAUAACAGAUGUAGGACGAAUUAUGGCAGGUAUUCUCAGCUUGCUUGUCCCAUUUCAAUUGAAAUGAAAUCAGGUGGUUAUUUGAGUUUGUCUUCACUCUUGAACAAUGUAUGCAAUUAAAGUUUGAUCAAAUCACGAGCAUAUCUGGUUUCUUUUUCUUUUAUUUGAACUUCACAUGGUCUAAUUUUAUUUGUUGCAUACCAAUAUAAUAUUGUUGUAUCUUUAGUUCAAUAUGUGCAUGUGCGUUUUUGAUGACUCUGUUAGCACAUCCAGCACAUGAAGUAACUGUUGAUGUGUGGAGCGGCAGCAUGAACAGGGAUGAUCAUUUUCUGUGUUUGUCAUCUUCUUUUUGUUAACCUUUUGGCUUUAUUUUAAGAAGUUUAUACUCUUAAAUAUGUAACGGUCUAACCUCUAAUGUUCUAUAUAAGGAGGCCAUACCUGGCAAUGUUUUGAUAUUUCAAUUCAGAAAUGUCUGAUAUAUACAACUGUUAAGAGGUCUAAUGUUUUUGUGCAAAGCUUCAGGCAGUUUAUGUUGACAUUGUUGUUUUAUUGGUAUUUCUAACAGGAAUACUUACCUAGUAGCCUCCGGUCAGAUUACUGCGUUUUGGGGAUUUUUCUUUUUUUUUUACCCCUCCAGUGUUUGCCGCGUGUUAAACUGUUUUCUUUCCUAGCUGUGACUGGCUCUUUUUUCUCUUAAUGACGUAGCUGGUGUCCAGUUUUGUUUGUUGACGUUUCUACAGGGGUUUCGUAUACGUGCCGGUCUUUGGGUUUUUACAAUUUUUGUAGUUGACUUGCUUACCUGGUUAUUUCUGCUCUGCGUGUUUUUUCCUUGGUGUGUUCGGCUGCUGCUUGUGCACGGCUUGUGUUUGCAUGCGUCCUGCACGUGGUGCCAUGCGCUUGUGUGUGUAGCCUCGUGGGUGUGCCCAUGCUGUCUUACGUGGCUGCUCCCAACCCUUUUGUUUCUACUCCUAUUUCUUAUUUUCUUUUUCCCUUUCAUAUAUUUAGCCUUGAUCGUCCCAAAGUUUUUCAUGCUUGCUGUAUGUUACGUUUCCUUAAUCAACGUUGUGUUGUCAUCUUCGGUUGCUAGGUCGCGUUGUGCUGCUGUUCGGUGCCGUUCUUGUUUUGAUCUUCAAGCUGGCAAUGGUCUGUUUAUUGUUUCUUGUUUUACUUUUAUAAUUUGUACAGUUUUUUUUCCUUAUACUACAACCGUGUGUUUUUCCUCCCGUUGACUCAAAUCCUUUUUGUGUUCACACUUCACAGUGUGUUCUCCGAUAGAAUUGCUAUCGUUCUCUUAAUUUUGCUUUGCACUUAUGCGGGUAUGCCACUGGUUGCUUGGCGCUACAUAUAGUUUGUGCUGGAUGAUUCUGAUGAUUCUAUUGUUGCCUCUUCAUUGAGCAUGAAGGUAGCAGCAGGAAUCCGUCCACAUAUACCCCAUGCCAGGUAGCCUGAAAUGUCUACAGGGCUAGAAAUCUCAAUAAUUCUCAUCUCAUCCAUGAGCUGAAGGAAUUUAAAAGAUUAUGAGUUUGGGUUUUUUUGUACCAUCCUUGAGAAAUAUGUUGAAGUACCAAAAAUUUUUAUGUAAAAUUAGUAUCUCGAGGUAUCAAAAUUUUACACUACAAAAUAUAGUAUCUCGAGUUUUGUCUUUUCCACUGGUUUCCAACCAGAAGCAGCCUUCAGGAGUGUAUAGUGCACUUUUUUCGGUUUCAAGGUAGUGCCAUGGUUUCUUACACUUAUCUAAGUGCAAUUCCAGGUCAAGGAAAACUCCAUUCCUAAUCUGUUAUCUGAUCAACUGAUAAAGCAAUGAACCAGAUGGAUUUGUUCUCGCAAGAUGCUUGUUGGGCAUAGACUAGUUUACUAAGCUAGAAAACGUACUAUAUCUAUGCUUGCUUUAAUGCUUUGAAGUGGAACAACAGGCUAAUAUGGAACCACAUGAGAGCGAACGGAAAGCAUAUUUGGAUUUUAGGGGUUUUUACAACAAAGAGUGAAUUUUUUAGUUAAUCACGGCACAUAUGCAUGUUUACAAGUUUCUAUAAGCAAUAUUAUAUGAUAGUUGAUAUUAACCUGUGCUGUGAUCAUCAUGUGUGGAUGUGCGAUCAUCAAGUUUCUAUAAGUUGAUAUUUUAUCUUACAUUAGCCAUGUGUGGAUUGUCAUCAUGUGUAUAAAAUAUUUUUAGUAUUCUUUUAGGCCAAAUAAAACUGAAGUGAAACGAGUAAUUGCCUGAGCGCGGCGUGUCGCCGCGUGGGCACGUCUAGUUUUUUAAUGUCUGGUGAGUUUUUGUGUAGUAAGAUUUGUUCCCUGUGCAAUGGCCAUAGUUUUCCUCUUGUUUUGUCUUGAGUAUGAGCCGUUUACAUGUCUAUAUAAUGUUUGGAAUUUGAAUAUCUCCACAAUGUUAUAGAACCUGUCUUGGGAACAAGCUGUUGCUUUUGUAAUGAUCUGGAAAUUUCCACAGUUUUGUACUAUCUGCUUCUAAUUUUCUAGAUAUAUGAUAUUUAUUGGGAAAAUUUUGUAUUUGCAACUAGUAACUUGUCUAAUACUCCCUCUGUUUCAUAUUGUAAGAUAUUUUGGGUUUGUCAUAAGUCAAACUUCUCAAGUUUGACCAAGUUUAUAGAAAAAAAGUAAUAACAUCUACAACACCAAAUUAGUUUCAUUACUAUUUGUAUACUAUAUUUGUUUUGUGUUGAAAAUAUUGCUAUUCAUUUUUCUGUAAAACUUGGUUAAACUUAUAGAAGAAUAGAAGAUUGACUUAGGACAAACCCAUAAUGACUUAUAAUGGAAGGAAGAAGUAUCAAGUUGUCAACUAUAUAUUCGAAAACCAUUCUUUUCACAUGCCAGUGUUCCAUCAGGUCACAUUCUUACAUGACUGGUAUAUGAGAAAACUGUUGUGAGAUUUUUACUUGUAAUUCAUAACUUCUUAAAUCCUGCAAUAUGUUGCUAGGCUUGAUAACCAAUUGUUUACCUAUGUCAUCUGAGCCCAUUAGUUCCCAUAUAAAAGCAGUGGUCAAUAUCUCCAGGUCCAGCAGCAUUGCGCACAUGAACAGUACCCGCGUGGUUACUGUUCAAACGUAUGAAGCUCACGUGAUUGCUUUAAUUUAGAUUAAUGAGUUAUUUAUUACCAUGAUCUUAGAUAUAAGUUUCUUAAGAGGCAAUAUAAGGAUGGGGCUGUAUUUCUGUUCAUUAAGCAAGAGAUAAACAAGUGUCUUUAGUCUCGCCAUCUUCUUGCCUGCCCUUGUGGUACACAGCCUCCAUGGUGCCAAUGUGCCACUUGGGUCAACUAUGCCUAAGGCCCUUAUCUUAGUAAUGCCCAUUACAUGCUAUUGUAUUUUAUGAUUGUACGCGACAUGAUUUGCUAGACUAAAUAUGGUGCUUGUAGUAGAUAUAGGAGUAUGACGUGGGUGUGGGUCACUCUGUUUGUACCUGUUGACUGACUCUGGUUCAACAAAACCAAUUUUACUUUUGUUGAACUAGAGUGGGUCAACGGGUACCCACAGAGUAAUUUGUACCCAUCUAAAAGUAGCUAUAUUAUUCCUACCCCUUUACUAGAAAUGUUGCAAUUGCUUAUCUGUACUGGAGUACAUAACAGAACCUAGUGGGUACUGGGUAGCGAUGAUGCUGAAAUUGUGAGUGUGUGAUAAAUUAUGAUGGCUUCAUGAUGGACUGUUAUUCACAUGUGAUGAAUUCUGUUUGUUGGAUAUGAUUUGUGUGUAUGCCACUGAUAGAUAAAUUAUUUGUGAUGGACACAAUGUGCAAGGGUGAUGCCAAAUUUUUGUGGCAGCCAACGCACCCCCUUCUGCCUAAAAAGACUUGGUGCCAAUAACCCUUGGCUCCAGUUACCUGAUGUUGACCCAUGGCCACGUCGGGAUCCAGCGUCGCACAGCUGCACCAGGGUUGAUGGUGCUGGAAUGUUGUUUAGAAAAGAACCAGUACGUCAAAAUUCUAGUGUCAAGUAACUUAUGGACUUAUGCAAGAUAUGUUGUCCCGUGAUAUGUGUGCAGAGCUCCCUCUUGAGCCUUCUCUUUCAAGGACUUUGAUUGAAGCAAACGAAUUGGGAUGUCUAUCUCAGGCAUUGACUGUUGCUGCAGUUCUGUCAGCUGAAAUCACAUUCCGGUCAACUAGAAGGUGGGCAUUUUGUUUUGUAAUUCAUCUAAGCUACUGUAACACAUUGAAUUUUAUGGUGAACUUAUUGCACCCUUACAGCAAAGACAUGGAGGGAAAGAGGAAAAGGCAAGAGCUUCCUGAUGGUUCUGGUUGGGGCGACCAUAUACAGUUGCUUCAGAUAUUUGAAAGUUGGGAUCGAACAGGCUAUGAUCCAAGAUGGUGCUCAGAUCAUGAGUUGCAGGUGAAUGAAAAUAACAUUUUGAUUCUAAUAUGAUACAGUGAAAGGAAUAAAAUUAUUAAGUACUAGUGUUGCAAAAAUAAAUGCAACUGUGUUGGACCUUCCUGCAUAGAACAAGCCGAAUCACAAAGCAUGAUAUAAUACCUGAAUUUUAUUUUAAAUAGGUCAUCGAAGCAUGUCAUGUUAAAUGGGAACAUAUCCUAUGUACACAAGUUUCUGAUACACACUCUGUGCACAGCAAUUAACAAAUGUCUUCGAAAAUUCUAGAAAAAAUUGGACAUGCAAUCCUAAUAGUACUCCCUCCAUUUGGAAUUGAUAAGUGCAAAAGCAAAACAUUCAGAAUUGAUCAGUGCAUAAGAGCAGGUACAAUAGCAGGCUAUUAGCCGGCUAUAAACAUAUUUUAAUGAGAUAAAUGAUGAGAGAGAAGAGCAGCGGGCUACAGAUUUGUAGCCAGCUGCAGCACGGACUCCAAGACACAAUGUGUGUAUGACAGGUGGGACCAUAUAUUAAUAGUAUAGUAAGCAACUAUUGUAUGAAUUGGCUAUUAGAUUGGCUAUAGAUGAAUUGGAGCUAGUAGUGAGCUAUACUAUUGAACUUGCUCUAAGGAUGUGGUAGCUGUUCAGUUUUGCAUGUAAAUUUAUUGUUUUCCCAUGCAAGGAUUGGGUGGCUCUUUGAUUUACAUGCUAGCCAAUCAGUUUUGCAUGCAGAUUUAUUGCUUUGGCAUGCAAGGAUUGCCUGGCUCUUCGGUUCUCAUUCAAGCCAAUCAAUUGAGCAAAAAUAGGAUGCUUCAUUGAAUAAAAAUUGGCUGCUCGUCUUCUCAUUUUGCAUGCAAGUGUUCCUUAGUCUGGAGCCCAGGUGAAAUAGGUUGAUCAAAUUCGAAUGGAGGGAGUAUUACACAUAUGUGUAAAGUCUCAUCUGAAAAUUCAUUAUAUUUUAGCCGUAGCAAAAAAAGAAAAAACUGUCAGGUAUAAGAGUAUACUAUCAGAAUUUUGUCUUUUAUGUUACGUCUAAAAAUAAUUAAUUCAAACAUGAGAUUUCACACAUAGGUGUAAUACAAUUGAGAGUACAAGUCUACUUUUUUCUAGAAUUUUUGGAGAUAUUUGUUAGUUGGUGUGCAUGAAGUGUGCACCGGAAGCUUGUGUGCAUAUGAUACGUUCCCAUCUUAAAUUGCCUUUUAGCAUUUAUAGUUUUCAUGCUAGCAAUGCAAACUUUGAAACAUAUAACAAGGAUAACAUUGUGUGAUCAUCAUAUCUAUAUGCCUGCAUAUACUGUUUGUCAUGAUACUUACAGACUUUAUACCCCCUAGAUAGUUUUCUAGACAUUAGAUUACAAUGUAGAUCACAGAACUAUCUUUUGCAGGUGAGAGGCAUGAAAUUCAGCAAAGAUGUGAGAAACCAAUUAAGUCAGAUUAUUCAAAAAAUUGCAAAAGGUCGGUGAUCAGUAAUUCUAGUUUCUGUUUUAUUGUGUACCCACCCUUUCAAAAACCUACUACCUGUUUGCUUCUUCCUUUCCUGGGACACCUCUGUUGUUGAGCUGUUUUUUCCUCUUUUGUCAAUUCGUUGUUCUACUUUUUGAAUUUUAACUUCUAGGAACUACCACAAAGAUAUUGUUACAUAUGCCCUCCAUGAAGAUGUACGUCCUACCUCUAGAACCUCAGUAAUAUCCAUGCAGUGCUCGACUACAGAUGCAAUAUAACCUGAACUCAUCUUGCUCGUAUUGCAACCAAAAUAUGUAAUAGAUCCAGAGCCCAGCGCAUUACGUAUUCCAAUGUUCACUCAACUACUAUGUUUAAGUUUGGCCCGUAUAUCAAAAACUACUAAACCUACCUCUUUUUUUGUAAAUUUAGGUUCAACAGAUGUGCAAGCAAAGAAAGAGCGGAAGAGUGACCCUGAUUAUAGAAAAUUAAGGAGAGCUCUAUGUGUUGGAUAUGGUAACCAGCUCGCUGAGAGGAUGCUGCAUCACAAUGGUUAUCAUACGGUUGGAUACAGGGCACAACUAGUGCAGGUAUUGACUUCUGCAAUCUAUCAGAUUAGUUUUGCUAUAGUGUCAAGCAUAAAUGGCAAGGGUAAAUUGAGAUGAUUCUGGCGAAUGAAACAUUAGCCAGCUUAACCAAACCAAAAGGUAGCAGUUUUUUGUGCCAAACUUUUUACUAGAUGUAGAAGCCAAUGAAACUUUCAGUUGCUACUUGAACUGUUUAGAUAUGCUGAAUAUGCUUUGCUGAGAGUAUGCAGUUUGUUCUCGGGUAAUUGUCGACAAAGUAUUUUAGAUAUGCUGGAUAUUAGCUGCAAAUAAUAGUUGUCUCAUGCAACAGGAACGCAUGAAUCUCACAGUGACUGGUUUAAGCUGUUUUUGUAGAAUUUUGUCAUUUUGGUUUUGACUACAUUCUUUAGUUUACAAACUUAAUUACUGUUGACCCUUUACAGUUUGUUAUAUAUUCUUUUUGCAGGUGCAUCCAUUUUCCGUACUGGAAGGUGAUGAAUACGGGAAACUGCCGGUAUAUGUUGUCUACCAUGAGUUAAUAAAUACUACUCGUCCUUUCAUGAGAAAUGUUAGUGCCGUGGAUCAGUCUUGGGUUAAACCUAUAUUGAAGAAGCUUGAAAGAUUGGACAUGAACAAAUUAAGGUAUGAAAUAUAUGGGUUAAAAUAAUUACUAUUUCUAACAUGGCAAUUUAUGCUACUACAGUAAUAAUCUCAAUUAUAUUACAGUGGUGGUUCCAGCGGAUCGAAAGAUCCAGAACCUCUAGAGGAUAAACAAGUAAGCUCCCCAAAGAAAGCAAUGGAUGUUAAACAAUCUGACGUGGACAGUAAAAUACAGGCAGCUCGCGAGCGCUACCUGGCUCGAAAAGGCAAGAAAUGACAGUAUGUGCUUAACCAAGCUAUUCUUUGGAGGGUAGGUCCCAUACGUAAUGAGAGGAACAGGGAGUGAUAACAUGACAAUCUUCAGUAUCAUAUUUCCCUACCUCUUAUUACUUACCAUAGCAGAAGUACUGUAGGUACAAGCAGAGACAUUUAUGUGAGUCUAAAUUUCAUCAUAUCCAUCCAUUUGUCAAGCUUGAGAACUUUGUAACCGUUUAAAGGCCUGUUUGGCUGGUGUCUUGGUGCCAUAUGCCUGAGGAUUUUGCAUGCCAGAGAGCCACCCGAGAUGAUGAAUUUUGCCUAGUCAGGCAGCAUGUCUCUUUUGAUUGUUUGGUUUCGCACAGCUGUCUGAGGAAAAAUUGGGUUAGGCUUUAGAUGAUUACUGCUAAUCAAAUGUUGAUCGGAAGAUAAUCUUGCUACCAUUGCAAUCAUGCAUCGCCCCUUCAAACAAAAUCCAUCCACUGCCAACUUUCCGUAAACAAAUAAUUUGCAUACUAAAAUCUAUCCAAAUAAGCUCUUGAAUCUAUUCAGCGAAGUGGAAGCUGCAGAGAUGACUGGCGGUUCACAUGAUGGCUACAGUGCAGCGGCGGCGCUGGCUGCAACAGCGUUGGCAGCUUCGCGCAACGGCCUUUGCGGCGGCAAGAUCCUGUGACCGAGGGUACCAAUCAAGGGCCACAUCUUUUACCCUACAACAUAUAUGUUGAUGAUAUAUGUUGAUGCUAAAAUGUGAAUCUUAAAAUUUAAUUUUCGAGUUAAUUUUGAGGGUUUUUUUUAUCGUAGUUUCAUUUUCAACAUUGGCGUUCAAGUCAUUAAGAACACAUGUAAAAGUUUUAAGAGUAAAUUUCACAAAACUACAGGUAUUUUGCAUAAUUUAUCAAAAAAACUACAUAUUUAAGAUUUAAGAGCUUGUUUCAUAAAACUACAGAUUUAGUGUCUCAAUUUAUCACAAAACUACAGAUUUAUACAAACUAUCACAAAACUAUAUAUUUAAGAAUAUGUUUCGCAAAACUAUAAAUUUAGUGCAUUUGUUUAUCAUAGAACUAUACAUUUAGUGUCUUCAUUUAUCACAAAACUACAGGUUUCACAAAACUAUAAGUUUAGUACUAAACCUGUAGUUUUGUGAUAAAUGAAGAUAUUAAAUUUGUAGUUCUGUGAAACAAGUUCUUAAAUCUGUAGUUUUGUGAUAUAUUGUGCAAAGUACAUAUAGUUUUAUGAUAAAUGAAGACAUUAAAUCUGUAGUUUUGUGAAACAAGUUUUUAGUCCUACGCUGAGAAAAGAUAGGGGAAAGAGAUAAGGAGUUAGAGGAAGGAAAGAGAUAAGGAUAGAGGAAAAAGAGAUAGUGGAGAGAUAAAGAUGAGAAAGUCUAAGUCUAUGGUGGUUCGAUAUAUUUAAGACGUGGGAGGGAGAUAGUUGGUGAUAUCAACCGGGAUUAAAGAUCUAUUUUCUCGGUGCUCUAACGUUGUCUAACACAAAUAGAACCGGGACUAAAGAUGAUUUUUAGUCCGGGAUUAAGGGCCUGUUUGGUACAGCUCCAACUCCUAAAUAUAACUCUAGGAGUUGAGUCUGGAGUGGAGUUGUGGAGCUGCCUAAACCCAGCUCCACAACUCUAGUACAUUUUGUGAGAGUUUUAUCCAACUCCACUCCUAGUUUUGGUGGAUCUGAAACUGUUUGGCUGAGCUCCUGGAGCUGGAGAUAGAGCUGUGCCAAAUAGGCCCUAAAGAUCAUGAAGUCCCCGUGCACUUUUAAACUGAGACUAAAAAUGGUUUUUAGUUCCGGUUUUUAGUUGAACCGGGACUAUUGUGGCUUUUUGGCAACCGAUCAAAAAUGGUUUCUCCAGUAUCUAGAUGUGUUAUAUUACACAUUAAUGUUACUGUAAUCAUACUAAACUUCUGCACGAGGUUUCAUCUACUAAUAUAAAAAAUAUUUCGCCCGAAAACUACCAAUGGAUAAAGAAAGUCACUAUCGGUCCCCUGUGAUCGCUCCCGCCUCCUCCCGUGUGUCACUCUCAUCAUCUCGUGCGUGCUACUAGAAACCGGCGUGCUCCCCAUUAGUGAAGAAUGAGAAGGAUAGGGAAGGGGAUUUCAUUUGCAAGUUAGUGAGGGGAACUGUUGGGGUGUACUUAAAACAACCAAAAUUUUGAGAUUAGAAGCCAUGCUGAGCAUCUGUUGGCGAUGCUCUUAGAGCACCAUCCAAAAAUCCAGUACCAAAACUAUUCAUUUACUUUCAUCUAACCAAACCUGGAUUUUUAUGAUCAUUUUUUUUUACAUAAAAUGGCAUAUAGGUGUUGAUGCGAAAAACACGAGGCCUGAGAGAUCUGCUUAACUCCAGUGCAGGUCCAAAAAUCUUGCCAUUAGGUUCGUGAGCGUGCCAGUUGAUUUGAUUCUGCAAUUAACAAGAAAUAAAGUGUUUGGAGAGAAAAAAUAAAUUUUCGUCCCUCCGCACAGGGAAAUAAAAUAAAAUAAGAUGCGCGGGCGUGCAGUGUACUAAGUACACAAAUAAAAUAGACGAAGGAAAAUGCAUUUAUUAUAAUUCUCAAAGAAUUAAAAAAUACAAAAUCCUUGGUCAAAUGCUCUCUAUGGCCUGUAGGCAAGGUGGAUCUGAAUUGGCGAUUGUGUUCUCCUGUUUCCCAGGGUCUCGGAAGACACCUGGUUAAUUACUCUCGCGAGUUAAACUCGUGAGAAACCUCUGAUUAAGCUGUGCUGGUCGUCGUUGGUCUUUGCUUCACAUUCUCCCACUAGAACGGAUACCCUCAUCUCAAUCGGGCGGUAAGCCCCAUCUCAAUCGGGCACAGCGUCCGUCACAGGCUAGAAGUCACUGAUGUGAAGAGUUAUCUCAAUCGGGCAAACGGCCGUCACGAAUGAAUAUAUCUCAAUCGGUUCCUAAGUAAAGCCCAUCACUGAUAGCUUUGACCCAGACGACCAGUCAAACUAUAGCCCGUCACAGAUGACCUAUCUCUAUCGGGCCACAACUAGCGCCCGUCACAGAUGACUACUAACCUUUAUCGGGCCUAAACUAGAGCCCGUCACAGAUGAUACUCAUCUUAAUCGGGCCUAAACUAUAACCCGUCAUAGAUGACUGAUGACCUCAAUCGGGCCUAAACUAGAGCCCGUCACAGAUGACUGCUGACCUCAAUCGGGCCUAAACUAGAUCCCGUCACAGAUGACUAGUGACCUCAAUCGGGCCUAAGCUAGAGCCCGUCACAGAUGACCUCAUCUCAAUCGGGCAUUUAGUUGUGGCCCAUCACAGAUGACUAUAAUCCACAAAAAAAAUAAAUUUUGUUUUUUGGCUAGCCUCAGGCCUUUGCUAGCCAUGUCCGCUGCAAAAAUGACAGAAACAAACACAGAUAUCCAAUAUCCCCAGCUCCCCAGCAUCACCCAUUCAUACAUAUGCAUUAACAUACACAGACAUCAACAUAUUUCACACAACCACACAUUCACCGCCAUCUCAUAUUUCACAUCCAUUCACAUAUUUCACAUCCAUUCAAAUAUUUAUCAUAUUUCACCUGCAAAACCGAGUUAAUUGGAUCAAAUAUUUAUUUAGCAAGUCUUAACAUAAACAUAUGAAAUAUAUACAUAAAUAUAAGCAUCACAGUUACAUCAUCACAGUUGCAUAAUAAGUGUUCAUCAUUGCCUAAACAUAGAAGUUCAACAUUGUUCAUCAUUUUAGUUUAAGCCUAAACAUUCCUUUGGGGUUAAUUAUUUCGCGGAGGAUGAAGCUGGCUAUCUCCUCGCGAACCUCCUCAAAGCUGGUAGUCAGAGACUUGGUUAUUGUGCCCUACAUUGUCAUAAUUCCAGAUUAGUUGAUCGAUCAUAUAUAAGUACUAAAAUGUAGUUAGUCUAUCACAAUUGAGACCACCGACCUCAAACUCAGCCAAAGUCUUCACCUUUUCUCUAUACAGAAGUCGCAUGUUGUGGCACACAUGGAAUUCGCACUGGUCACCUAUUUGUUGCUUCACCGGGAAGUCUUUUUUGUGGAUGAGGGUGUCAUGUCCUGUCUUCCUGAGGCCUCCUCUUUGCACGUAUUGGGCCCACGCUUCAUCUAUCGCUAGUUGAAUUGGGGUCCAAUCAUAUGCGUUCUUAUCAAUUCUGGAGUUCAGGUAAUGACAUGUACUCCAUUUAGGUGUUAUGACCAGAAGGAUCCAAUGGGCACUGCGGCAUUAAUAUAGUGAAAGUUAAUUAAGUACUCAAGCAAUAUGUCAUGCUGUUGUGUAUAUUUAGUUAACACACUUACUAUUGAUUAUAGGCACACAUAAUGUACUCCUUGUCUCGGCGGGACCACAAGGUGUCGUAGAUGUAGUUGACCAUUCCUUGACGGUCAUUCUGGAGAUUUGUGACAGUGACCACUUGUGGAUCAAGGAAGGCAACUUCCAGUGCAUGCUUCUGACACCAUUGACAACUUAACCUACACACAGGAUCAACAAUCUUGUAAGCAAGUUAAACCGAUUGUUAUUACCAGAAUGAGUUGGGCGACAAUAUUUACAAGGAGUAGCACUUAAGGAGGCUUGUGUCCACCGCUCGGAGCCUGUAGAGGUCGAAAAGAUCCUUAAAGUCGACCACGACAUAAUUUGUUGGACCAAGGAAUGGCUUUCCAUCGUGCUGUCCAAGGAUAUCGGUAGCUUUACUUGGCUUCCUGGCGUUAGAUUUCUCCAUGUAGUAUAAGUGAAGGUCCUUGCAAGCGGUGCCCAUUGCGGCAAGCACGUCAUCUCCAACCAAUGGCAUGCCUAGUUGGAACUCCUGUGGAGCGACGUAUUUCUUCUUGACCUCUUUGCCCUUAGUCUCUUCCUGGCCCUUGCCCAGAUCUAGCUUUCUUGGAGCUAGAAGCGAGGCCUGCACCUUUCCUCCUCUUCCUCUCCCCUUUGCUUCGGGUUUAUCGAGAGUAAUUCUCUGAGGGGAAGAGUGUGCCUUCCUGCUCUUCUUCAUCGGUGGGGGUUCAUGAAUCGUCUUGCUGUCGGCCUCCGUUCGGUCCUCCCCAAAAUCCGUGUCGUACUGCAUCUGCACAUCGUAAGAUUGUGCAUGACGAUCUUGAGCAGGAGGGGCUGAAGGAGCAGAGGCGGGUCUCUUUGGUGGACGACCGCCUGGUGCAAUGGUUGGCCUCGCUGUAACCCUGAUCUCAAUGAGGUCCUUGGGCCAUUGGAUGAAGGUACCACGGGCAUUUCCUAGUGAGAGGACCUCGUCGUUCGGUGGAUACUUCAGAGGGAACAGCUCGUAUUUGGGCUUCACCGAGUCGACUUGAACUUUUGCACAGUCGGCCCUGAGUUGCGCUCCAUGCACUCUUGUCUCUGGGGUUGGCUUGUACGCAAGUCCCUCGGCUGCUGGAACAGUGAAGGUCAGCAUCACCCUAACUAUGAGGGUGCAGCUCGUUGGUUUCUGCGAUAGAUUAAUCAAUUUUUUUAGAAUAUUAUAUAUCAUAUGGAUUCGUUAUGUCUUUCAUGUAUUGAGUAAGUUCACGGUUACCGUUAUGUGGUCGACGGUGCUGUCGACCGAUGUUGGAUUUUCCGCCAACUCAGUUGAUGUGCAACUGCUGCGUUUUUCGAUGGGACUUCCUAACUCUUUGUGCGCAGCAGCAGUGGCGGCCUGGGGGAUCUGUUGCUCUUCUCGGAUCUCUUGCCUAAUCUUGGCCCUCAUCGACUCGAGCUUUUCGUCGAAUUCAUAUGUCAGCUCAGCUCAUAUCGACUCCCGGAUCUUGGCUUCAAGGCGUGCAUCUUUCUCCGCCUUGUUGGAAGUCCGCUUCUUGUACUGCCACGCGUAGUCUGGAAAUCCAUACUUCCAGGGAACAGAAGACCCAACGCCCCGUGUCCGUCCACGGUGUUCCUUGUUGCCCAACGCUUUCGUGAGGAGGUCGUCCUCGCAUCUUUGAGAGCAGGCCUCUUGCGAGGCUUGUUGCUCGGCAACCAACUCCUUCUGCAUUACAAUUUAGUGGGGUCAAAUAAACUGCACGAUGGGAAACAAUGCGAACAUCUAGUUUGACUAGACACUUACUAUAGCUUCGUAUACUCGUUGAUCUUCUGCAUUUGGCAUGAAGAUUGUGCCAUCAUCAUGUUUCUGGUACCUAGCCCUGGCCCAGUUCCUAGCCCGAGGGUGUGGGAUAUCGCCAAACACGAGCGGUGUGCACGAUUCCUCCGCUUCUUCAUCCUCACGCUGCCAUUCCUCUUCCUUACCGGCAUAUCCGGCGGUACCAAGCCGGUGCGGAUGCUGGUUCUUGGUCUGGAGCAAGCGAUAUGCCUCGCUUCUAGCUUUGGACUCGGGGGUCGACUUCUUCGCAUGGAAUUCCUCCCAGACCUGUUCUGUGAUCCAAGGAAAUUUCUCUCUUGGAUCUGGAUUUGCCGGGUUGUAGACGAACUCACCGACUAGCUUAGUCUUGAAGUUCUUCCAAGCAGUGCCCAUAACCUUGAAAGCAGCCCGCCUGAGACGGUCCUCAUGCUCCGCAGGAUAAUCAAAGCUCUCCUUGAACGUUAGCCAAGCAAUGUCCUUCUCUGCGACCGGCACGAGCUUGAAGUCGUCUUGCAGAAUACUGAAUUUCUGCCUCCCUAUGACCCCGCAGAUAGACCUAAAUCGGCUCAAUAUUUUCCUUGGAGAUGUCGGCAACCCUACGGCGUCCACCGCUGUUAUGCGGAACCGUUCCUUAGGAAUUUUGUUCCCUGUCCUAGGAGUACGUGCCCUUGAGGACCCACUAGUUGUCGUCGACAUUGGUUCGCCUUGCUGAGACAUUGUCUACUUUUUUCCAAAAAAACAAAGAAAACACAAUUGAGUGCUACAAUCUAUUACAAUCUAUUAACCACAUUUCACAAUAAUUUCAUUCAUGCACCACAUUUCAUCCCAACAUAAAUAAACCACAUUUCAUCCCAACAUAAAUAAACCACAUUUCAUCCCAACAUGAAUAAACCACAUUUCAUCCCAACAUGAAUAAACCACAUUUCAUCCCAACAUAAAUAAAUCUCAUUUCAUCCCAACAUGAAUAAACCCAACAUGAAUAAACCACAUUUCAUCCCAACAUGAAUAAACCACAUUUCAUCCCAACAUGAAUAAACCACAUUUCAUCCCAACAUGAAUAAACCACGUUUCAUCCCAACAUAAAUAAACCACAUUUCAUCCCAACAUGAACCACAUUGCAUAUAAAUAAAGUUAAAUGAACUACAUUUCAUCAAUCACUACAAUCAUCUAUCACAAAAUUCAUAAAUGCACCACAUUUCAUCCCAACAUCGACAUGUCUCACUCACAGUUCAAUCACAUAUCAUCCACAUCCACAUUUCAAUGACAUGUCAUUCACAGUUAGCAGAGGGCGGCGCGAUGGAGGACUCACCUGAGGAUGGCCGGUGGGGCUCGGUGGCGGCGGCGCCCGGGCUCGGUGGAAAGCGGCGCCGGUCGGAGGAGACACCGAUCGGGCAGGUCGGCACCGGGCGGGCGGCGUCAUGCUCAGUGGGGGUCGGCGACGUGGGUCGGUGAGGACGCGGGCGGCGACGACGAGGAAGGCCAACACCGGUCCGGUCGGUGUAAAGGCUCGGUGGCGGCGGCGGCGGGCUCGGGGGCGGGGGUCGUCGGUGAGGAGGCUCGGCGGCGGAGGUCCAAAUGGAGGGCCGAGGAGGCUCGGUGGUGACGGCGGCAGGCUUGGCGAGGGAGGACGACUGCGGCGGCGGCGGGCUCGGUGGCGACGGCGGCGGGCUUGGCGAGGGAGGAUGACGGCGGCGCUAGGGUUCUAAGGAGGCGGGAAACUGUAGCGGGACUUAGAAAAAUUUUCGAUCCACUCUGAGAAACCCUAGUUAUAUUAGAGUGAUGAGUCAUCUCAAUCGGGCUUUGCCGUAGGGCCAGUCACAGAUGACGCAUCGGUGACGGGCUCCAUACUAAUGCCCGAUUGAGAUGACAUUCAGGCCCGUCACGGAUGACUCAUCUGUAACGGGCCCUAAGAUAAUGCCCGAUAGAGAUAGAUUAAUCUCUAUCGGGCUUGAACUAAGGCCCGUCACCGAUGACUAUUUUUCCAUUUCCCAGGUAAGUCUUUAUAUUUGUGAGUACAAAAUAUAUAGCUGCUGUAUAAUAAUUUAUUUUAUUAGUUAUAACACAUUUUCGGAUAGUAAAUGAUUUCAAAUCGAAAUAUGGUCAACAACAAAAUUGUAGAGGUUAUCAAGAUCUACAACUUUUAUUUUGGUCAUUUGUCUAUAUAACUUUGUUUCCAACAGCUUGAAAUUGAUUUUGACAAUAUGACAAAUAUAAUCAACAUUUGUAAAUACUAAAUGAUUUGAAAUGGAAAUAUGGUCAACAACAAAGUUGAUCCUCUCAUCAAGAUCUAUAACUUUUAUUUUGGUCAUUUAUCUAUAUAACUUUGUUUCUAACAGCUUGAAAUUGAUUUUGACAAUAUGACAAAUAUAAUCAACAUUUGUAAAUACUAAAUGAUUUGAAAUGGAAAUAUGGUCAACAACAAAGUUGAUCCUCUCAUCAAGAUCUACAACUUUUAUUUUGGUCAUUUAUCUAUAUAACUUUGUUUCUAACAGCUUGAAAUUGAUUUUGACAAUAUGAAAAAUAUAAUCAACAAUUGUAAAUACUAAAUGAUUUCACAUGGAAAUAUGGUCAACAACAAAGUUGAUCCUCUCAUCAAGAUCUACAACUUUUAUUUUGGUUACUUCUUCAUCCGACAAAGUGAUAGUUAUAUUAUUCAUAAAAAUCACAUUUUUCUCAUCUGGUUUACAAAUAUCAACACAGAUAUGUUAAUUUUGUAAACAUUGGUACUAUCACUUUGUCAGAUGAAGAAGUGACCAAAAUAAAAGUUGUAGAUCUUGAUUAGCUGUACAAGUUAGCUGUUUAUGGCUUUCCCAUUUAAAGUCAUGUAAUAUUUACAAAUGCUAUUUAGAUUUGUCAUAUUGUCAAAAUCAAUUUCAAGCUGUUGGAAACAAAGUUAUAUAGAGAAAUGACCAAAAUAAAAGUUGUAGAUCUUGAUAAACUCUACAAUUUUGUUGUUGACCAUAUUUCGAUUUGAAAUCAUUUAUUAUCCGAAAAUGUGUUAUGACUAAUAAAAUAAAUUAUUACACAGCAGCUAUAUAUUUUGUACUCACAAAUAUAAAGACUUACCUGGGAAAUGGAAAAAUAGUCAUCGGUGACGGGCCUUAGUUCAAGCCCGAUAGAGAUUAAUCUAUCUCUAUCGGGCAUUAUCUUAGGGCCCGUCACAGAUGAGUCAUCCGUGACGGGCCUGAAUGUCAUCUCAAUCGGGCAUUAGUAUGGAGCCCGUCACCAAUGAGUCAUCUGUGACGGGCCCUACGGCAAAGCCCGAUUGAAAUAGAUUAAUCUCUAUCGGCCGUAAACCAAGGCCCGUCACCGAUGACUCAUUUUCCAUCUUUCAUUUGUUGUGAGUGCAAAAUAUAUAGCCUAUAUAAUUUUUAUUUUGGUCAUUAUUCUAUAUAAUUUUUUUCCCAACAGCUUGAAAUUGAUUUCGACAAUAUGACAAAUCUAAUUAACAGCAUUUGUAAAUACUAAACGAUUUCAAAUUGAAAUAUGGUCAACAACAAAGUUGAUCCUCUCAUCACGAUCUACAACUUUUAUUUUGGUCAUGUGUAAUAAAACAAAAUUAGCCAUAUUAAUGACUACACAUAUCAAGUCUUUGCAAUAAAACAAAAUACUUCAUUCAUUACAAUAGAUAAGUACAAAUGCAUCAGUCACAAGGUUAUGCCUUCGGUAUGAUCUGAACGAGCAUAUGCCACAGGCUCUUGGGGAUCAUCGUCAAGGUCAAUGUGAGGUCUUACAUGAAGAUUAUGGUUGUAUUCUUCUUCAUCGACGAUGUUGUCAACUGCUACAAUUCGGCGCUUUCCAUCCCUCACGAUGUGCAUCUUCUUGUUUGAAGGGUCUUUUAUAUAGAAUAUCUGCUCGACCUAUUUCGCAAGUACAAAUGGUUCAUCGUCGUAUCCCACCUUAGAUAGAUCUACUAAAGUGAAACCUUCCUUGUCGGCUUUGACACCAGUGCGUAGAUUCACCCAACGGUAGCGGAACAAAGGAACCUUGAACUUGACGUAGUUUAGCUCCCAGAUCUCCUCAAUGCGGCCGUAGUAUGUGUUUGACCCAACUUGAUCCUGGAAUGCAUCUAUACGGACGCCACUGUUUUGCACUGUGCAUUUGUCAUCUUGUUUGACGGUGUAAAAUGUGUAUCCAUUUAUAUCGUAUCCUUGCCAUGUGUCUAUGGUCCAAGACGGUCCCAUCCCCAACAACUGUACUGUCUCAUUUGGGACAACCGUGGACAUUGUCACACGAUUCUUGAACCAUUCGUUGAACCGAGAAUUAUGUUCUCUGUUAAUCCAUGCAUCAGAUGGCCCCAAGUUCUCAUCUCGGAUUUUCGCUAAGUGCUCCUCAAAGUAUGGGCCAACUUCUGUCAUAUGUUGGAGCACAGCGUAAUGAGCCUGCGCGUACGACGCUUGAUCGGGCUUAAUUCUUUUCCUUCCGAUUGUGCCAACACCUGACAACCUUCCCUCGUGACGAGACGCUGGAACUCCGAUAGGAUCGGCAUCGGACAUGUAAUUGACACAGAACUCAAUAGCCACCUCGGUCGUGUAACCUUCAAUGAUGCUCCCCUCGGGUUUAGCUCUGUUACGAACGUACGACUUCAGAACUCCCAUGUACCUUUCAAACGGUCACAUUUCCCUUAGAAAAGCUGGACCACAUAGUUUUGUUUGCUUCACCAGAUGAACAGGGAGAUGAACCAUUAUAACAAAGAAAGACAGUGGGAAAAACAUCUCCAGGUGACAGAGGGUAUUCACAAUAUUGGUCUGCAGCCCAUCUAGAUCUUCUGGAUCUAUAACCUUCUGUCCAAUUGCAUUGAAGAAGGCGCACAGACGUUGGAUCGUGUGACGCACUUUCGGUGGUAGAAUGCCUCUGAUAGUAACUGGCAAGAUUUGUGUGAUUAGCACGUGGCAAUCGCGAGACUUCAUUCCAACAAGUUUUAGAUCGUCCAAUUUAACAUACUUACUUAUCCUCGCUGAAUAGCCCGAUGGAACUUUAAUAUCCUUCAAGCAUGAUAACAUUGCGAUCUUCUCAUCCUUCGACAGUGUGUGGCAGGCUGGAGGGAGGUACACUUUACCUGUCUCUGCAUCUUGUAUGGGCUGGAAUUCGCUGCGAAUAUUCAUGUCCUGUAGAUCAAGGCGCGCGUUCAACCCGUCCUUUGUCUUCCCGGGAAUAUUCAACAUCAGGCCAACCAAACUCUCACACACAUUCUUUUCUACAUGCAUGAGAUCAAUGCAAUGACGGACAUCAAGAUCUUUCCAGUAAGGUAGCCGCCAAAAUAUGGAUUUUUUCUUCCACAUACCCUUCUCCUUUGUCUUGCUACGUUUUCUUUUCUUCCCAAACUCAUUGCUUAUGUCCUUGACCAUAUUGUGGACCUCAUCUGCGGACAAAUCUUUGGGAGCAGGCUGAAGUUCUCUCUUACCAUUAAAAAUUUUCUUCUUUCUUCUAAAUGUGUGACGUAGCGGGAGCCACCUCCGGUGACCCAUGUAUACCAUCUUUCGUGAUUUCUUCAGCCACCGGCUUCGUGUAUGUUCCUUGCAAUCGGAGCAUGCCUUCUUUCCUUUUAUAGUUUGUCCGGAAAGAUUACCGAGUGCAAGGUAGUUAUUAAUGGUGCAAAACAAUAGAACUCUUAGCUUGAAGUUCUCCUGACCAUAUGCAUCCCAAGUUUCCACACCUUCUUUCCAAAGAAUCUCCAGAUCGUCGAUAUCAUUGCCGGGUUGCCUUGGACCUUGGAUUAACAAGCACAACAUAAUAUAUUUCCGUUUAAAGCAUAACCAUGGUGGGAGGUUAUAGUUCGCAAUAAGAACUGGCCAAGUGCUGUGAGUACUACUCAUGUCACCGAAAGGAUUCAUGCCAUCCGUACAAAGACAUAUCCUCAUGUUUCUAGGGUCAGCAGCAAAGUCUUUGUGUUUUCGAUCUAUAUUCCUCCAUUCAAUCGAAUCCGCUGGGUGUCUAAGCAUACCAUCAUUCCUUCUUUCCGUGGCGUGCCAACGUACUAACUUCGCUUCGUUCGGGUUGGCAAAGAUUCUCUUGAAACGAUCAAUGAUAGGUAGAUACCACACAACCUUUGCCGGACCACCCCUCUUUGACUUAUUUCCUUCGUCAGCACUUUUCUUUCGCUUGUAUCGAGAAGCCUUGCAGAUAGGACAAGCAUCCAAGUCCGCAUAUUGCUUGUGGUACAAUAUGCAGUCGUUGGGACAAGCGUGAAUUCUACGGACCUGCUUUGCUUCGUAUGUCGUCUCGGGCAAUGUGUUCUCAACAGGAAGCAUAGCCUUCAAAAUUCCUAAAAGAUCUGUGAAACUCUUGUCUGUCCAUCCACUACUUACCUUCAGCUUCAUUAGGUCCAAGGUAACUGACAACUUAGUGUGUUUUGCUUUGCAUCCAGCGUACAAAGGCGUCUCGGAAUCACUUACCAACCUGCUGAAUUUCAUUCCAUCUCUCUCAUUCUGGGCUGGGUCCUCAACGUCACGUAACAUGUCUUGCAGCAGAUCGUGAUCCACAUCAACCAUUUCACCGCCCAAUGGAGAAGGUAUAAACAUUUCAUGCUCAUUUUCAUCUUCCUGAUUAUGCGCACCACUUCUGUCUGCUGCUGCUCCACUUCCUGAUUCUUGCUCUCCAUACUUCACCCAACAUGUAUAGCCCUCCAUGAAUUCUCGUUGUAUCAGAUGACCGUGUACGUCCUCUCCGCUAUCAAACAUAUUCUCGUUCUUGCAAUCUGCACAUGGACAACACAUAUAAUCACUGUUUCUUCUUAUCCGAUCCUCCUCCGCGGCGUUCAUAAAUUUUAUUACGCCAUUUCGGUACUCCGUAGAAUGACGUUUCAAAUUUUUGGCAUACAUCCAACUUCGAUCAAUUGCUACAAAAUAAAAAAAACAAAUUAGAGGCACAUAUUAUAAGAUCAGUAUUGCAAAAGUAAGACGUGAUGAAAUUGCUCAAUUAAUGAUUUAUAUUACUCACUUGAUUGAUCCAUUUUGAUCACUUUUGGGAAUUUAAUUUCUGUUUUCCUUGGAAAAAGGACAAAAAAUGCCCCCAACAGCCUCCCACCAAAAUAGUGAACAGUGGGAUACAGUUACACUAGGUGGUGGGGGGUAUUUAUACUGUGCAACAAAUAUCUGUAACGGCCCUAAAACAAUCAACCGUGACGGGCAUACAAGUAAUCUCUAUCGGGCCUUAAUAAAAGGCCAUCAAAAAAUAGUGUCAUCUGUGACAGGCAAUAAACUUAUCUCAAUUGGGCCUCUAGUUGGAGCCCAUCACAGAUGACCCUCAUCUGUGACGGGCUUCUUUUAGGGCCCGAUUGAGAUAUGGAACCCUCAUCUCAAUCGGGCAUCAACUAUAACCCGUCACAGAUAAGUGUCAUCCGUGACGGGCUUUAGUUUUAUGCCGAUAUACUAUGGCUGUGCGACCAUAUCUCAAUCGAGCGAAACUUCGGCCCGAUUGAGAUUACUUCCUUGUGACGGCCCGCAAAUUCCAGUCUUGUUAUGGGCCGUCACAGAUGGAAGGAUCUGUACUAGUGUCCCAUGCAUGACGGUGAUGGUGGUGUAGAUGUGUGUGGGCAUCGACAACGGUCCACGGCCUCGUUGGUCCGUGCGCCGGUGUUGGUGACGUCAUCUUCAUAUAGACUCUUCCCGCCCUGCCAUUUAGCCUCGUCGGUGGAGGUAAAGAUGGUGCUCGUAGUGGGGACUAGCAUGGCAUUGGCUGGGGUGAGAAUAAGAUGACGGUGUCGGUAGUGGUGCUGAGCUCGAGUAUGUUCAUGGUGGCCAUGAAGAGGUCAUCAGCGAAAGCACAAAUGACAUCGGUGGUCACAAAGAAGUCAUCUUGAUAUUGCUAGGAGUAACAGAGACACCAGUGGAGAUUCCAAGCUUGUGGUCACUUGCGGUUGGGGUAGAAUCACCCAUCUAGCCUAGAUGGCACUGGUCGACCAUUAUCAUGGUACAUGAGUCAGCCUACUGAUCGCUGCAGCACGCACUUAGUAUUGAGUGGUUUUAUGGGAUGUUAGGGGCAUAGCCUAGCCUGGGAACGAUGAGAUGCGUUCCAGGAGCUGGGUGGCCCUCUUGUAUAUGCGCCGACAAUCGGGGCUGAACUCAAAUGAUGUUGAGCCGUCUCCGAUCGUAGUGACUUGACUCGGGAGUGCGCCGAUGGCGGCCAUGAAGAAGCCGUCAUGUGUAUGGGCGCUGCGGAGUGAUAGAGGCACCGGUGGGGAUGCCGAGUUCGUGAUCACUAGACGGUGAGGUGAGGAUUCAUGUGAGGAUGACACUGGUGGCAGCAGCGAGUCGGAGGACUUCGCCGGCAGCAGACGAACGGUGGCGGGGCAUACAUAUAUAUAACUGUUUCGUUCAUCGAACGGAUGAGGUUGGCGAGCGUGACGCCAUCGUCGUUGGCGUGAGGAUGACUCCGGUAGUGACGAUGGACGUGAGGUCAUCAUUAGCCGGCGGAUACUCCAAGCACGUUGGUGAUAACAGUCGGCGGAUCCAAACUUGCACGUUGGCGACGAAUGCGCGAUUGGCACCGGCAACGGUAACAAGGCCGAGCUUGUCAUCGGCAGAGAAACGACCGGCGCCAGGACGAUGACCAGGGACAGGUUCGCCAUUGGUGGCAGCCAGGAGUAUAGACGCCGAUGGUUGAUGACCACACCGACGGCAGCUCCAAGCUUGAGAGACGGUCGGCAGGGGAGAAACGGUCGGCGCCGGCAACGAUGACCAGGAUCAGGUUCGCCAUCGGUGGCAGCCGCGAGGAUAAACGAUGAUGAUUGAUGAUGACACCAGCGCCGACUCCAAGCUUGCGCCCGUUGUCGGUGAAGGCACGGUUGGCGCCGGCGACGAUGACGGGGUCAAGCUCAUCAUCAGUGUCAGCCAUGAAGCGAACACAGGAGGUCGACGAUGCGCGAGCACAUCACCGGUGGUGACGGCAGGAGUGAAGACGCCUUGACCGUGCGGGCCGGUGUGAUGACCGACGGCAGCGAUGCCAUGAUAUCUCCCAACAGACCACCGAACCUCGUCAUCACCGAUGAUCCGCCACCCUUGCGUGUAUGCUAGCUGAAAUGGAGAAGACAAGAGACAAAGAAACAAAUAGCAUUACACAUGGCAGGUAGCAGCAUCACCGCCAUGUGCUGCCGAUCACGACGUUCCACCUCUUCUUCUCUGUAUGUGUGUCUGCUCUCGGCGGCGAUAUGGCGGCACAACUUGUGCUGCGUGUGUGUCAGUCUCUCUUCUCGUAUGCCUCUGCGUUUCUGUCUUCUCCCCUCCUCCUUAGCACGCCUCCUCGCCGGACGCCGAGAUACUGCGGCCAACGUCACCGGCCGCCGAGCACACGCGUUCCCGCCGGACGCCGAGAUACUCCGGCCGAAAUGGCGUGUGCCUCUCUCUCUCUCUCUCUCUCUCUGUGCCUUUUCGUGUGUGUGUUCUGUCUCUGUGUGUUGUGUCCCUGUGUUUCUCCUGUCCCCCUGUAAAAUGAAAUGGACAAUCUUUUAUAGGGGUGAUAAGUCGGUUCACAGGCUAGCUCAUACAUGGAUUAGUAUCUGCUCAACCAGCCAGCCGCUUCCAUCUAUAAGCCAAAUUUCCAUUUAGCAAAUAUCAUGAUUAUGAUAAUUCCAUUGUAUUGUGAUAUGAUUAUUGAAGCUUCCAUUCUAUGGUGAUACGGAGAGUAGUAUUUCCAUGUGAAAUCUCAGGUGCUUGCUGCUAUUAUCUGUUUCGUUUCCAAUCUGACGUGAUAUGGAUCAAUUUUCCUUGUAUACUUAUACGCUCACGCACUGCUCAUAGAAAGAAACUUUCAUAUAGAGCUAUCUUGCCCUUUUGAUUUCCUUGGUUUCCAUGCAAGCAUGUACGUGGUUUCCAUGCAUAUGAUGUGAGAGAUUAACGGCCGGCAAAUCAUGUGAUUAACUUCCUCUAAUGACAGUGAUACAGUGGCAUAUGCUUCCAUUCCCAUGAAAACAUUCACACCUUUUUCCUUCCAUCAGCCAACCAUGAAAUUGGAUCGAUCACCCUAUAUCAAAAUGUCGCGAGUACGUAUAUACUAGAGCAGCCGACGGCAAGUGUCUCACAAUAUUCAUACGUAUACGCCAUGUACGCCAGGUUGUGUUAUUAGUGAUAAUUAAUCACCAAUUUCGUUAUUAUAUCGCCGUUCCCGAAAUUAAUACUUUGACACACUUCAUUUCUUUCAUUUAUAAAAAAAAUGUACAAAAUAUCGUCGAACAUAAAGACAGAAAAAUAGCAGUUAAAUCUAUAAAUGAUAGCCGAUCGGCCAGUUGCCGAUGACAUAUCAUCUAUCUUUGAGCCAAUGUUGUAUUUGAGUCGAUCGCAAAUAUAAAUAAACAAGAACGAACUAAAUCUAUUCGAUCAGCUGUGGUUAUUAAUGAAAUAUAAUCCUAAUAUCGAUAUAUACUUAAAUCAAAUGAUUGGGAUAGAUCGGUCGCCAUGCCGAGACAAUAUAAAUCACUUAGAUCGAAAUAUAUAUUAACAAGAAGAUUAUAAGCAUUCAUAGCGUAGUCGAUUAGAUAGAUCUAGCAUGUAUCGGCUAAUACUUCGAUACAACUCUAUAUUGAGAUACUAAGACAAGCAGAAUAUACCAAACAAGAAGCUUAAUAUACCUAAAUGCAGUAAUAUCUUAACAUAAAGGGCAGAUAUAGCAUAUCAAUUAAGCACAUAAAAUAUGAAGCUAAAUCAGGUAAGAUCGGUUGAAACCCCGACACUACCCUAAUCGGCAACCAAAAGCAGGCUAGAGAUUAUGAUUCUAAUCACGACUUAUAAGAUCAAACUCAACUGAUACAGCUAUAAGUAUGAAAAGAACAAUAAAAAUCUAGACAAUCAAGCCGUUGGUUGUUUCAUAGGAUGGUAGAUACCCUAUAUAAUCUAAGUUAACAUUGAUAUUUAACCUAAUCGGCUGCCUUCCAACGAUAGAUGUUAGCCGAUUUGAAGGUUAGAUAACGAUAUUGUCAGAGAUUAUAUAGAGCAUAUGAUAACUCGACGAAUUACAUAAACAAGAUUAGAGUAUCAUAAAGAUGGAAGCACUAAUCCUGAGAACGCAAGCCACCAUAACAAGUUUUACCUCUGGUUGAAGAUCGAAACCAAUGCAGCUCAACCCGAAAGCAAAAACUCGUCGAAAGUAAACGAAAAGUAAAGGGUAGCGAUGCGCCGAGAUUGUUAUUGAACGUGUGUUAUUUGAUUACAUGGGUUCGGGUCAUAUUUAUACCCAAGAUACAAAAUAUGUCCUUGUCGGACAUGACUCUUAUCUCUAACAAACUCUAAGAUACCAUAAGUCUUUGCGGCAGACUUUUGCCUAAACUUAUCUCUAAGGAAAUUACAUAAAAUAUCCUAAUUAAUAGAUACAAUUGCCUCCUCAGGACUCAAUCCGUGCAUGGCAAUCCAUAUGAAGCACAUUAACUCAAUCCGACAACGUGAACCAAGUCAUAUUGCUGGAAUAGGCUUAAUCGGCUAAUCCUUGUUCGACUCGAACUCUGCUGAUCCUGAUUGCAGCCGAUUCAGACUUUAGCCGAUCCUCGCUCUGUUUCCGUAACGAUCUCCAUCCUGGAUUCUGCUUUGGUUUUAUCUUCAUCUCCGAUACUUGAAUUAUCAAAUUUGGUUAUUAACAAUAGGUCCAAGGGGAAUUCGAGUUUUCUCCAUUUUUUAAUGGAAAAUCACCACAGAACUUCAAGCAAAAUGGAAAUUUCUUUUUUUUUUGAAAAAGAAAAGAAAAGUAGCUAUUCCUCAACGCACAAUCCCAACCUUGUAAACAUUUAAUUAGGAGAGUAACUAUACAUCGCUAGAUAUUUUUUUAAAAAAAAUACUUUCAAUAGUAUAAUUAGUGUUUAAUUAUAUUAAAACUAUCAUGUAACCAAUAUAUAACUCGUAUAUAACUUAAAAAAACACGUUUGUACUUAGUUGGCUAGCACCUUGAGCAUCCACUUUCAACUGUUGCAAGUUUUUUUUCCCACCCUACAUGACUCGAAGCAACCCAACAUUUAGAAAUUUGAAAGUUCUAGAAGACCAAAAAAUUUUCUAAUGUUUAGUGAUUCCGAUAACCAUCGCAAGUCAUCAAUAAUACUUUAUGUGAUUGAUCAUUGAUACAAAACAAAUCCACCCGACAUGGUGUCAGAAAUGUUGUAGCCAUAAAAUUGCUUCCUCAUUUUUUUUGCAUAUGGUUCGUAUCGCCGAUCAGACAGAUGACAUAAUAGCGUUGCUUAAUUAUACAAAUAGCACGAAUACACUAACUAAAUUAUUUACCCUACUAUAGUUUAUCAACUGCAGUCCUAUAGAAACUUUAUUCAUUAAAUCCAACGACCUAUAUCGUCCAACCCAACGCUCCAAAUCAUCUCACGUUCCCCCUCCCCUCUCUCCCACUUUGCCUGCACGGGUCGCACGCCACCCCCACCAUGCGCCGUAUCUCGCAUGCGUUGCACCAAAUCCUAGCUCAAGUAUGCCGCAGCCCGCAGGCGCUGCCGCGCCAUGCCCCCCGACCCUCUUGCCGGUCUCCUCAGCGCCACCGUCGCGCUGACCACAUCCCCUUCUGUACCGCGGCACCACCGAAGACUGUGUCGUGGCAGGCGUAGUGCUGGGGGACCUACACCCACACCCAGCCAUCGAUGAGCUCCUGGAGGUGGAGGGCAUCUCUCUUGCCAGUGGCCUGACUUCUCCCUCCUCGGCUCCUCACCUACGCCGACCUCCUUUCCUCCGCAGCCUACCUCGGAGUCACAGAUUGUCACCACCAACAAGGUCAGUUCCUAUCACCCCUGCUCCACUUCUUGAAGAGCUGUUCCAUUUGAUGAUUUUUGUGGCAGCAGAGCAUAUAUGUGAGCCUGACAGGGAAGCUCGAGGACGUCAUGUGGCAGCCAUGCAGGUGGCCAACUCGACGAUGGCAGGCACAUCAGGCACAACUACAAGAGAUUUUAUGAUAAGUGACGUUUCAUUUACGUCACAAACAGUGAAAUUUACGUCAUGUUAUGUAAUCUGUGACAUUCGUCACCUAUCAUGCGUCUCUAAUGGCGUUCUAUGACGAAAUCUUAUUUUUUGUCAUUAAUCUAGUGACGAUUCUUCUGUCGUGAUAGAGUUAUGACAUCCAUUUUCGUCACCAUCAAGCCUAAAAAUCGUAAUGAGAUUCUAUGUGGCCUAUUAAGGUCCAUAUAGUGAGCAACUUGUUUAUGGGGUAGACCUAUUGUAAGUCCAAUUAGAUUUUAAUAAAUUCAGCCCAAUUAUACUAUAUCCAUCCAUAUUAAGUGGGCCAUACAUAUUCAAAAGGGCCAAUAGGCCCAACCAUUGCAAUGAAAUUGAAUCUAGGCCAUUGUCACGCCCAGAAAUUCCCGAAUAGAAUUCCAAGCAGAAUGUGCAUUAGAAUCCCCGUCCAGGACCGGCCGAGGUACAUAAACGACAAAGUUUACAUACAGAUCCACGUCUUACAAAUAUUAUAAAAGUCUUACAUAAAUGCAGCGGAAAAUUAAAAGGCAAUUGGAGCUAAGCCUCGACUUGGACUGCAGCGGGAACACCACUCCACAGGCAUCCUCGACGGCACGGACGGAGUCUACUCCUCGGAGAAACAACCAUCUGACGCAUACUCAAACUCUGGGGUUUGGGGAAAAUAGAGCAAGACUAAGUACAAUCACCGUACUCAGCAAGUCAUACCGGAAUAGGGGUAUGAUGCAGGGAAUUAUCAAAGGAUAGCCAUAGAGGUUCUUUUGCAUAAAGCGAGCAUUUAUAAACAGUAGUUGAAAGCAGAAAAACAGUUGUAGUAAUUAAUCAAUAUUAACCAUCCACUGUCCAACGCUACACCACGUUGCAACAGGCCCAACCAUCCACCUAGACUAUUCAAUUCCAUUAGACUAGACUAGGGUGAGACUAAUCACGGUGAAUCUGGUUGACCGCCCAGAACCGCGGGCACGGCUAUUCGAAUAGUUUUACUCUGAUCAGAGGUGUACAACUGUAUCCACAAGACACAGCCCCACGACACGUUUCCGUGCGCCGACAUGCCACCAUGACAUAACGAAUAGAGGCCGUGACAGGACCCUUCGCAUAACCCCCUCUAACCAAGCACACCACACCUCAGGUUUCACCCCCACUCCUCGCAAGGCAGCGGGCAGUCCCCUCUCGUGCCUAGGUGAAUCCGGAAGCCGCAUAGGCCGUCGCAGGGCCCAUCCAAACUCCAUCACGCCCACCCUUGCCUGGAUGCGUCAGCUAGAGGAAAGCUACACUACAAGCCCAGCCGUUGCCCACGCUGGAUUGUGGUAAGUACGAUAAGUUCUUCCACGGCAUCCCGCGAACCGGUCCUUAAAUGCCAUGGGCGCGACCAGUAAAACCAUGCACCCACAGCCCACCAUAUGAUUUAUUUUAAUUAAGCAACACCAGGACGGUGGCACUAAUCCAACAUUAACAUUAGAACCUACAGUCUAUACAUUAAUAUGAUUUCCCCCAUUGUGUGCUAGUUGAACUAAGCAUGGCUAAGCAAUCCCUGGUCCAACAUCUAGUCAUGUCACAUCCCAAGCUAACAAAGGAGCAUGGUACAAGAAUAGCAUGGCUAUAACAGUAGGUAAACAUUCCAUAGUAUUAUUGCAAAACAAUGCAGUAUUUGAAGGAAAACAAUAGACCAUUUGCAAUAUAGGAUCAACAUGUUCAAGUGACAAGCAUGACUUGCCUUGCUCUGCUGCUGGAGGAACCUCGGCGACUAUUUCAAAGUACACCGGAGCGUCGGGAGAGCCGGAAUCUAAGCGACAUACAAAGCAAACAAUAAAAACAGGCUAUAAGACUAUUGAAAUAGAGAACAAAACCAUUUUUGAUGGACUCUACAAAUUUUUCUUGAUUUACUGAGACUUGAAUGGGCUUAAACGGAGCUCGGAUGAAUUAGAUAUGAAUUUUAGAAGAUUCACUGUGUUUUUACUAUAAACAGAAAAAUCCUUAAUUGAAUUAUUGCGCAAUAAAUAAAUCCCGGGAGAGAGAGAGGGGCGGCGCCGACAUGCGGGCCCCACAUGGCAGUGACUCGGGGGGGCGGUUCACGGUGGACCGAGUCCACGGACCGGGGAAGGCGCGGUGCACCAUGUGGCGCUGACGUGGCGCCGACGCGGCGGCCACGCGGCAGCCACGCGGGCGGCCGAACGGACAGCCUCGAUCUACCGCGGACGGCGGAUACGGCUCGCGGCCGGCGCGCGCGGGCACGGCUCAAGCCGGCCCGGCGGCCAUGGCGCUUAUAGCGGCGACGCGAGGCGGUGACCGGCGGCGACCGGGGAAGGGGUGGCGCACCACGUGGCGCUGACGUGGCGCUGACGCGACAGCCACGCGGGCGGCCAAGCGUGGAGUGGGUUCCGGUGGCGGAUUCCGACGGAGGAGGGGUGGACGGGACGGCCCGCACGACGGCGUCGACGGCGCGGCUCGGCACGGCGGCUAGCGGCAGCUAGUGGCGACCGGAGCGGCGGCGGCGGCGGUGGAGAGGAGGGCGACAGCGCUAGGGCGAUAGAGGGCAAGGGGAAGCUUGGCGAAAUGGGGAAAAAGAGAGAGGGGAGAGUGGGGAUGCUUAAAUAGGGGAGAGGGAGCUCGGACGUGGCUGGGAGAGGCGGGAAUCGCCGGCCAACGUGGGGGUAGUGGGAGAAGGGAGAGAGGCGGGAUUCGAAAAUCGAAUCCCGGCCGUCUCGAGCGCGGGCGUGGGCGGGAGAGAGAGGGAGUGGGCGCGGGAGACGCGGGCGCACGCGCGGGCGUGGCCGACGUGGCCGAUGUGGCCCGAAGGAGGCGGGAGCGUGGGCGCGGCGGCGGCGGCUGGAGGUUGGGGGAGGACCCGACAGGUGGGCCCCACCUGUCGGCGACCCCGGGAGAGAGGGAGUCGGGCGGCCGGUUCAGCUGGGCCUCGGCCGGGCCCAACGGGAAAAAGGGGGCAAGGAGAGAAUGGGCCGGCGGCCCAUCCCGAAAGGAAAAAGGAAGGGAAAAAGAAAGAAAAAGGAGGAAAAGAAUUUCCAGGGAAUUAAAUAUUGCUUGUAAUCAUUUUUAAUUGGUUAAAAUUAUUUCUAGAGCUCUGAAAAUUCCAUUAAAAAUCUUGUUAGCGUAUUUUGACAUGUAGAACUCAAGAAAAAUUCCACAUGCCAAUUCCGAUUAUUAUUUACAUUAAUUCCUUUAGGGUUUCACUCUUGCUUUUACACCGGUAUUUUCUUGGGACCAUUUAUAAAUUCAAUUUAGGCUUGGGAGAAGAACUUCAGAGUGUGACAAACCUACCCCCCUUUAAACAGAAUCUCGACCCCGAGAUUCGGAAGAGCUGGCGAAGAGGUGCGGAUGGGCGGCCUUUAACUCAUCUUCCCUUUCCCAAGUUGCCUCUUCUUCUGAGUGGUGGCUCCACUGAACCCUGUACAACCUGGUAACCUUAUUUCUGGUUCUUCUUUCUCUGGUCUCAAGAAUACAAACCGGCUUUUCCACAUAAGUCAGAUCUUCUUGAAUGUCGAUGUGCUCCGAAUCGGCUUGUUCUUCGGGUACCCUCAAGCACUUCUUUAACUGGGACACAUGGAACACGUCAUGGAUGCCGAUCAUGUUGGAUGGAAGUUCUAGCUGAUAAGCAACUUCUCCUCUUCGUUCCAAGAUUUUGUAUGGUCCCACGAAGCGUGGUGCUAACUUGCCUUUCGUCUGGAAACGGUGCACUCCCCGGAGCGGAGUAACACGAAGGUACACGUAAUCCCCUGCUUCAAAAGUGAGCUCCCUUCGGCGGUUGUCCGCGUAGCUCUUAUGUCGAAACUGGGCAAUUCUCAGCCUCUCUCUGACGGUUCUGACUUUCUCUUCUGCUUCCGUUAACACUUCUGUUCCAAACAGUUGACGUUCGCCUGUUUGAUCCCAGAAGAGAGGUGUGCGGCACUUCCGGCCAUACAACGCUUCGAACGGCGCCAUUUGUAGACUGGCCUGAUAGCUGUUGUUGUAAGAGAACUCCGCAUACGGCAAGCUUUUGUACCAUGUUCCACCAAAAUCAAGCACACAAGCCCUUAACAUAUCCUCCAAUAUUUGAUUGACCCGCUCGGUCUGACCAUCGGGAUGGUCUGCGGGUGGUAGGCUGUGUUGAAGUUCAGCCGGGUUCCCAAUUCCUCUUGCAAUUUCUGCCAGAACUUUGAAGUGAAUUGGCUCCCUCAAUCAGAUACUAUCUUUUUGGCUACUCCAUGCAGACACAUGAUUCUCGAGAGAUAGAGCUCCGCCAACCUUUUGCCCGUAUAAGAAGUAUGCACUGGAAUGAAAUAAGCAACUUUGGUAAGUCAAUCCACGACUACCCAGAUUGAAUCAUGGCCCGAUGAUGUCCUGGGCAGACCUGUUAUGAAAUCCAUUUUAAUUUCUUCCCAUUUCCAUUCCGGGAUCUGAAGAGGUUGUAACAAUCCUGCGGGUCUCUGGUGUUCUGCUUUAACUCGCUGACAGACAUCGCAGAGCGUGACGAAUUUAGCUAUUUCCCUCCUCAUGUUGGCCCACCAAAAUUUUUCUUUGAGAUCUUGGUACAUCUUGGUACUACCCAGAUGAAUGGAAUAUUGAGCCUGAUGAGCCUCGGUGAGUAUCAGAUCUUUCAGCUCUUUGUCAUCAGGCACGCAUAAUCUUUCUCCCAUCCAGAUUGUGCCAUGUUCAUCCUCAAGGAAGUCCCGGGCUUUUCCGACCCUCAUAUUUUUUUUUCAGUUCAGCUAUCUCCGGAUCAUUUACUUGAGCUGCUCUGACUUGAUCCACGAGCGUAGGCCGUGCCUCUAGAGCAGCUACGAACCCGUGUUCUACGAUUCCCACGUUGAGCCGUUCAAGCUCCUGCUGCAAUUCCUUACACACGUCCUCGGUGCAUAAGGCAUUGCAGUAGCUCUUCCUGCUUAAUGCAUAUGCCACCACAUUGGCUUUGCCCGGAUGGUAGUGAAUGCUCAUGUCAUAAUCUUUGAUUAGUUCCAACCAUCUUCGCUGUCGGAGAUUUAGAUCAGGUUGGGUGAAGAUAUAUUUCAGACUCUUGUGAUCCGUGUAUACUUCGCAGCGGUUGCCAAUCAGAUAGUGCCUCCAGAUUUUCAAAGCAUGAACCACCGCUACCAAUUCCAGGUCAUGCGUUGGAUAGUUCCCUUCAUGUGGACGCAACUGCCACGAGGCAUAAGCGACCACUCUGCCCUCUUGCAUUAGAACACAUCCAAGCUCGUGGCGGGACGCAUCACAGUAGACCUGGAAGUCCUUUGUUUGGUCGGGCAGAAUCAGAACUGGAGCAGACACUAAUCUCUUCUUGAGUUCCUCAAAACUCUUGUCACACUCGGCCGUCUAUUUAAAUUUCUCGUCUUUCUUAAGCAACUAAGUCAUAGGUCUGGCAAUCCUGGAGAAAUUUUCAAUGAACCGACGGUAACAACCCGCAAGUCCAAGAAAACUCCGAAUCUGUGACACGGUCUUAGGUGGGGUCCACUUGGUAACUGACUCCACAUUCGAUGGAUCGACUACCACGCCCUGAGCUGUAAUGACGUGACCCAGAAACUUGACUUCCGACAACCAGAAGUCACACUUGCUGAACUUGGCAUAUAAUUGGUGCUCCUUCAACUUCUCGAGUACCAGACGGAGAUGUUGCUCAUAUUCUUCUUCAGAUUUUGAAUAGAUGAGUAUGUCGUCAAUGAAUACCACAACAAACUUAUCCAGAAAUUCCAUGAACACCUUGUUCAUCGGGUUCAUGAAGAAUGCAGGUGCGUUGGUAAGUCCAAAAGACAUAACCAUGCACUCAUACAACCCAUACCGAGUGGUGAAGGCUGUCUUGGGGAUAUCCUCUUCCCGAAUUCUCAACUGGUGAUAGCCUGAUCGCAGGUCUAUCUUAGAAAACACUUUAGCUCCUUUCAGCUGAUCAAACAAAUCAUCAAGCCGCGGUAAAGGAUAUUUGUUCUUGAUUGUGACCUCAUUGAGUGCGCGAUAAUCAACACACAUUCUCUUCGUCCUGUCCUUCUUCUUCACAAAAAUGACCGACCACCCCAAGGUGAAGUACUUGGUCGAAUGUACCCUUUCUGCAGUUGCUCAUCAACCUGCUUCUUGACCUCUGCUAGCUCAUUGGCUGCCAUCCUGUACGAUCUCUUGUAAAUUGGAGUGGUCCCCGGUGCCAAAUCAACCCGGAAUUCAAUCUCUCUCUUGGGUGGCAUGGUAGUGAGGUCUUCGGGGAACACUUCUGGAUACUCGCAGACUAUGGGGAUAUCUUCCAAUUUCCGCGAACUCUUCUCCUCGGUGGCCACAAGGUUUUCCACCUCAAUCUGAUUUAAGGAGAUUCCUUGCUUCGGUGAGACUAGUGACUUGUACACCACAGUUUCUCCCUUCUCAUUGGUCAAGGUGACUGUGCGAUUCGCACAAUCAAUGACUCCCUUGAACUUGGUCAGCCAAUCCAUCCCAAGGAUGACAUCUAGAUCUUUGGAUUCAAGAAGGAUGAGGUUGGCUAGAAAUCGUGAUCGGUGUAUUUCUAUUAGCACUGAAGGGCUAUAACUGAUCGAGGUUGAACUAUUUCCCGGGGUAUGAACCCUCAUUAGUGUACUAAUCUCUUCUUUUCUUAACCCAUGCAUCCCAACAAACUUCUUUGAAAUGAACGAAUGCGUUGCACCAGAAUCGAAAAGUACGGUUGUAGGGAUUGAGUUAAUAGGAAACGUACCCAGUACGACCUCUGGUGCUGCUUGCGCCUCUUCUGCGGACGCGUGGUUGGCACGAGCUUGGGCAAACCUUGGCCCGGCACGCCUUAGCUUAGGGCACUUGUCAGCAAAGUGACCAUGCUCGCCACAGUUGAAACAGGACCUUGGCUUUGCUCCAGUCUCCUUCUUGGCUUGGGCUGAUGGAGCUGACUAUGCUGGUGCCAUUGGCAGGCGCGGAGCUGCACUGCGGUUGGGCUGACUUCCCUGGUGAUUCUGGCUGCCACUGGCGCCCUGGUGGAAGCUGCUCGAGUUGAAAGGGCGAUGCUGGCGGACGAUCAUGGUGGUAGGUCCACCCUGCUGUCCGGGAGUGAAGCGCGGGCGCUGGUGGCUUCCUUGGUUGGACCGGAACUGCGCUGCCUUUCUCUUCCUGUCCAUUUUGUUGCGCUGAUCCUCCUGACAGAUUGCCUUGUCAACCAGCUUCUCAAAGUCGGCAUAGUCUCUAGAGAUUAACUGGUUGGUCAGCUCGUCAUCCAGGCCUGCUAGGAACUUCUCCUGCUUCUCGGCGUCGGUGCGGACAUCCUCCGGUGAAUAUCGCGCUAGACGAUUGAACUCAUGGAGAUACUCAGUCACUGUCCUGUUGCCCUGGUGGAGUAUCCGGAAUUCCCUCUUCUCCUGUGCCACAACCCCGUCUGGCACCUGCACCUUCCUGAAGCUGCGACAGAACUCCGCCCAAGUGACUUCUGUACCUGGCGGGCGGGUAGCCAUGUGAUUGUCCCACCAAGCUGACGCGGGGCCCUGGAGCUGGUGUGUGGCAAAGGCGACCUUCUCCUGAUCAUUACAUUGCAGAAGGUUUAGCUUCUUCUUUAUGGCAUGGAGCCAGUCAUUCACCUCCAUGGGGUUGGUGGUGCUAGAGAAAGUGGGUAGCCUGACGCAUAGAAACUCUGGUAGCUUGGACUGAGGGGGAGGGGGACCAAACUGCUGCUGCUCGGCUUGCUGCUGCAUCCUCUGGUGCAUCUGCUGGUGCUGCUGCUGCAUCUGCUGCAUCAUGGCCGCCAUCAUCUGAGUCUGAUGGGCCAUCACUUGUGCGAGCGUCGGGUUCUCGGGGAGUGGUGGUGGACCGUGGCCAGAGGCGCUGUUGGGAUGCCCACCGUCGGUGCGUUCUUCGCCGUUGCUGCCCUCACCUACUGCACGGCUGCCAUUCCUGGUGUUGACCAUCUGGAGGGAGAGCAGACGGAGGGGGUGGAAAAGAAGAAAAACAGAUGCUCAGGAACUAAGCUUUAUUAUAUAGGAAUUUAAACUGCAAUUGUUCUGAUCUGAAUUAAAACACUUAAAACAGCAAGCAAAUCCUUAUUAAGAUAGCCAUAUCAUAGGCACAUGAUAUCGACCGUCGACUGACCCCCAAGCGAACAGACCUAAACACUCAAACUAAUAGACAAAUACUAAGCAGUCGGUAAACUAAGGGAAAGCGAGCCUAAUGCUCGGAACGGCUCCUGCGGUCGAUGGAGUCGAAGGCGUCCUCCUGCUCGUCACCAGGUCCCUCUGAGCGGCUCCUGGAGUCUUGCAGAUAUGUCUCGCCGCUGCCCGGCUCUGUGCCACUGGAACUGCUGCUGCUGUGGUCGCAGCUGCCACUGGGAGUAGCAGGCAACCAACCUCCAUUGCCACCGGCUGGACCCCUGGCGACUGAUGCUGGAGCGAAGGAGAGAGCGGACGCGGGAGCUGACACAGGGACGGGAGCCGGGACUGGAGCUGGAGCUACGGGAACUGCUGGAACUGCGGGAGCUGUGGGCGGAACUGGAGGAGCUGCGGGAGCUGCGGGCGGAGGUCGGUUCCUGGGCGCAAGCUGAAUGCGCACGGGUGUAGUCGUCGACUUGCGGGGCGUGGUGCGGAUCCGGACUCCUCCUAGCGCUGGGAGGCCCUUCAACUGAGCGUUCUCCUUCUUCAGGCGUGCUAUCUCAUCCUUCAAAGCUAUGAUCCUCACGAGCUUCCCAUCAUUCAAGGCCUUGGACAUCUUGUGCAGAUCCGAGUGCAUCCUGUCCAUUCCCCUCAUCACGGCGCACAUGUGACUGAAGGUGGUGUCGUUCUCACCGGCUGUCAGGCGAAAGGUGUUGACAUCGUCACCACUUGCUCGGCGAGGGUGGAAAUAGUACGCCGUGUUGCAGAAGAUGUAGUUGUGGCGCCCACGAAGUCUGGCCAUCAUCCGAUAUGCUGCCUCUUGACAGGCGUGAUCUGCGGUGCCUCCAGAUGCUUCAACCACCAUGUUAGCGAGGCAGGUGCCCACAUAGCCAUGAACCUCCAGACGAACACGGUGAGGAAACUCGCCACUGAGCGGCGGAACAGUCGAGUACUCUGGCGUGUUGGGGUAGCCCACCACUAGGGUCAUGUGAGCCAACUCUGCCACAAAGUCGUCCACGCCUUCUCCGCGGUGGUUGGGUGGGUGGUCGGCCAUCUAGAGAAGACAAAGGGGUAGGAUCAAUGCAUGCUCAAAUCCAAUUUAAAUAAAGCUGUAAAGGACUCAAAUAAAAUAAGCGAGUAAGAGCGGAAUUUUAUGCAUAGAUCAUUUUGCAUGAGAGCGAAUAAAUAAGACAGACUUACAUAGCGAUCAAAUAAUGAGAAAUUAUAUACUUACUAAUAAUAACAAUAAGAGCAUAAAUACCUAGCAACCCAUAUUCCUGAGUUAGGACCUAAUGCAUUCUUCCCAUCAAAUCCCGACUGACUGUCAAAUAAAUCUCAAAUAAUUUUACUAAAACCCUAGACUGACUUGAUUUGACAAAUCUCACUUAAACUAGCGACCAAGAUUUUUCCCUUGAACCACAAGAAUAGAUCCUAAUUUUCCUGGAACAAAUCCAAUUGCAAAGAAUAUAUGCAAUGAAAAGGAUUCAGAGGGCUCUUAGGUUUUUCCAUUUGGCUUGUCCUACGGUCAAGGUCGGCUCUGAUACCAACUUGUCACGCCCAGAAAUUCCCGAAUAGAAUUCCAAGCAGAAUGUGCAUUAGAAUCCCCAUCCAGGACCGGCCGGGAUACACAAACGAUAAAGUUGACAUACAGAUCCAUGUCUUACAAACAUUAUAAAAGUCUUACAUAAAUGCAGCGGAAAAUUAAAAGGCAAUUGGAGCUAAGCCUCGACUUGGACUGCAGCGGGAACACCACUCCACAGGCAUCCUCGACGGCACGGACGGAGCCUACUCCUCGGAGAAACAACUAUCUGACGCAUACUCAAACUCUGGGGUUUGGGGAAAAUAGAGCAAGACUGAGUACAAUCACCGUACUCAGCAAGUCAUACCGGAGUAGGGGUAUGAUGUAGGGAAUUAUCAAAGGAUAGCUAUAGAGGUUCUUUUGCAUAAAGCGAGCAUUUAUAAACAGUAGUUGAAAGCAGAAAAACAGUUGUAGUAAUUAAUCAAUAUUAACCAUCCACUGUCCAACGCUACACCACGUUGCAACAGGCCCAACCAUCCACCUAGACUAUUCAAUUCCAUUAUACUAGACUAGGGUGAGACUAAUCACGGUGAAUCUGGUUGACCGCCUAGAACCGCGGGCACGACUAUUCGAAUAGUUUUACUCUGAUCAGAGGUGUACAACUGUAUCCACAAGACACAGCCCCACGACACGUUUCCGUGCGCCGACAUGCCACCAUGACAUACCGAAUAGAGGCCGUGACAGGACCCUUCGCAUAACCCCCUCUAACCAAGCACACCACACCUCAGGUUUCACCCCCACUCCUCGCAAGGCAGCGGGCAGUCCCCUCUCGUGCCUAGGUGAAUCCGGAAGCCGCAUAGGCCGUCGCAGGGCCCAUCCAAACUUCAUCACGCCCACCCUUGCCUGAAUGCGUCAGCUAGAGGAAAGCUACACUACAAGCCCAGCCGUUGCCCACGCUGGAUUGUGGUAAGUACGAUAAGUUCUUCCACGGCAUCCCGCGAACCGGUCCUUAAAUGCCAUGGGCGCGACCAGCAAAACCAUGCACCCACAGCCCACCAUAUGAUUUAUUUUAAUUAAGCAACACCAGGACGGUGGCACUAAUCCAACAUUAACACUAGAACCUACAGUCUAUACAUUAAUAUGAUUUCCCCCAUUGUGUGCUAGUUGAACUAAGCAUGGCUAAGCAAUCCCUGGUCCAACAUCUAGUCAUGUCACGUCCCAAGCUAACAAAGGAGCAUGGUAUAAGAAUAGCAUGGCUAUAACAGUAGGUAAACAUUACAUAGUAUUAUUGCAAAACAAUGCAGUAUUUGAAGGAAAACAAUAGACCAUUUGCAAUAUAGGAUCAACAUGUUCAAGUGACAAGCAUGACUUGCCUUGCUCUGCUGCUGGAGGAACCUCGGCGACUAUUUCAAAGUACACCGGAGCGUCGGGAGAGCCGGAAUCUAAGCGACAUACAAAGCAAACAAUACAAACAGGCUAUAAGACUACUGAAACAGAGAACAAAACCAUUUUUAAUGGAUUCUACACAUUUUUCUUGAUUUACUGAGACUUGAAUGGGCUUAAACGGAGCUCGGAUGAAUUAGAUAUGAAUUUUCGAAGAUUCACUGCGUUUUUACUAUAAACAGAAAAAUCGUUAAUUGAAUUAUUGCGCAAUAAAUAAAUCCCGGGAGAGAGAGAGGGGUGGCGCCGACAUGCGGGCCCCACAUGGCAGUGACUCGGGGAGGGCGGUUCACGGUGGACGGAGUCCACGGACCGGGUAAGGGGCGGCGCACCACGUGGCGCUGACGUGGCGCCGACGCGGCAGCCACGCGGGCGGCCGAACGGACGGCCCCGAUCUACCGCCCGGUAGAUCGGACGGCGGAUGCGGCUCGCGGCCGGCGCGCGCGGGCACGGCUCAAGCCGGCCCGGCGGCCAUGGCGCGCGGCGGCGCGGCGCGCACACAGCGGCGACCGGCCCGCGGCGGAAGACGACGGCGUCGCGGCGACGCGGGUGGCGAUAGCGGUGGCUAAGCGGUUAGGCGGCGGCGCGGCGGCUAAGCGGCGCGGGAGAGAGGGAGAAAGGGGAGGAGGGGCCUCACCGGCGACGAUCGGCGACGGCGAGCGACGGAGGGCGACGGCGAUGGCGGGACGAGCUCUGGAACCACCUAGCGAACAAGAUGAGAGGGAUUAAAGGGAGAGAGGAAAAUGGGAGAGGGCGAGGACGCCGGCCAAAGGCGGCGGCCAUGGCGGUGCUCACCGGCGCACGGCAUGGAGUGGAUUCCGGUAGUGGAUUCCGACGGAGGAGGGGUGGACGGGACGGCCCGCACAACGGCGAACGCAACGGCGCGGCUCAGCACGGCGGCUAGCGGCGACCGGAGCGGCGAUGGCGGCGGCGGAGAGGAGGGCGACGGCGCUAGGGCGAUAGAGGGCACGGGGAAGCUUGGCAAAAUGGGGAAAAAGAGAGAGGGGAGAGUGGGGAUGCUUAAAUAGGGGAAAGGGAGCUCGGAUGUGGCCGGGAGAGGCGGGAAUGGCCGGCCGACGUGGGGGAAGUGGGAGAGGAGAGAGAGGCGGGAUUCGAAAAUCGAAUCCCGUCGUCUCGAGCGCGGGCGCGGGCGGGAGAGAGAGGGAGUGGGCGCGGGAGACGCGGGCGCACGCGCGGGCGUGGCCGACGUGGCCCGGAGGAGGCGGGAGCGUGGGCGCGGCGGCGGUUGCGGAGCGCGGUGGCGGCGGCUAGAGGUUGGGGGAGGACCCGACAGGUGGGCCCCACCUGUCGGCGACCCCGGGAGAGGAAGUCGGGCGACCGGUUCUGUCGGCCGGCCCAGCGGGAAAAAGGAGGGAAGGAGAGAAUGGGCCGGCGGCCCAUCCCAAAAAGAAAAAGGAAGGGAAAAAAGAAAGAAAAAGGAGGAAAAGAAUUUCCAGGGAAUUAAAAAUUGCUUGUGCUCAUUUUUAAUUGGUUAAAAUUAUUUCUUAGAGCUCUGAAAUUUCACUAAAAAUCUUGUUAGCGUAUUUCGACAUGUAAAACUCAAGAAAAAUUCCACAUGCUAAUUCCGAUUAUUAUUUACAUUAAUUCCUUUAGGGUUUCACUCUUGUUCCUUUAGGGUUUCACUCUUGCUUUUACACCGGUAUUUUCUUAGGACCAUUUAUAAAUUCAAUUUAGGCUUGAGAGAAGAACUUCAGGGUGUGACAGCCAUGCACACUCAAAAAGCCCAUAUAUCAAACAGAAUUAGCCCAAUUAAAAUCUAAAUCUGACAUCUUAUAGCCCAAUUAACAAAAUUCAGCUCACAUUUAAUACAUAAUCACAAAACAGGCUAUCAUAAAUUCAGAAAAAAAAAAGAUCACAGGUUAUCCGUAAAUCAGUUACAUGACAAGUCAGCUAAUUACAUCCACAAAUCACUAUCCAAAGCAUGUUCAAUUACAUCACAGGUUCACUGACCAGAUAUAAUACAUCACUAGUACAAGUCACUGACCACCAAAUCCAGCCAAAUGCCAAAUAGCCGUUCACACAUUGACCUAAGCAAAGUCAUAUCCAAAUCACACGAAUCAAAAGAUCUUGAAUUAGCAAGGUAACAUUAAGAGAAUAGACAAAAACCUUAUUGAGGCUGACCUGAGUGUUGCGGCCAAUCAAACGACAAAAGGGCAUAUGCUUCCUUGUUGCUUCCGAUUCAUCUAUCCAUAGCAAAAGAGGUGUUACUUAGGCACAACAAAAUCCUGAUGUUAUAUAUAGAAUUAAGCUUUGAUUAUGUGUAAAUUAAGCAAGCAAAAUGUGAGAUUGUCUAAUGCCAGUUGAUGUGCAUGAAUACUACCAUAAAUCCAAGAUUUUCCUUCAGCUAUCACGUUUUAUUUUGCUGCUGCAAAACUCUAAAUCAGCUACCGAAGCUAGCCAUUUCAUCAUAAAAAAACAAGCUCGCUGCGCCAUUGGCUGCGUAACUACAGAACUGAAGAGGUACAAUUUCAUGUAUUACACAAACACAUACAUCUCAUAAGUGCCCUUGCCUUAAUUAGCAUGAUAACUUCAAAGAGAGAAGCAAUAGCAGCUCCAUUUAGUAAUAACCCAAUUAUGUGGGACUUUUUGAAACUUCCUGAAGGUUCCUUUGAUGCAUGACAACCCAAAAUCAUCAAGAAUGAGGGUCCUACUGAAUUUAUGUCACCUUAAGCAAUUCUAUGACAUGAUGGUCUAAAUUUUAACAAUUGGAAGCUCUACAUGUACAAUUGCAGACACACCAAUAAUCAUUCAGAUCAGGAUACAAUUGUAAGCUCUACAUGUACAAUUACUUUCCAUGAAAUGAACUAAUAUUCUAGCCACCUAUGCAUUUGUAAUGCUUAGCAUAUCCAACUCUGUAAGCAAAGCUACUACUUCUACAGUUGUACUGCUUGGUUCGACACCAUCAGAAAUAGGACUAAUCAACAUGGCAAUAAUUCCCAACUACACGUUUCAUCCCAGAUUUGAUUGAAGGGUUAUUGCAGUUAUCUGCUACAUGGGAAUCACUGACAUUCAUUGUAUCAGUACUUACCAAAUUAUACAGUUCUUUAUAUAACAUCGAGACUGUCUAGAUGUAGGAAUUCAUGAUACUCAAUCUUCAAGAAUGAUUUUCCUCCUACAGAACAGCUUUUAUAAUCUGCACAUAGCAUUUACAAAUAUUUUGGGAUAAUGAAUAAUUCAUGUACCAUAUAAGAAAAGGAAAGAUAUUGUGCAGAAUUAGCCUUUUCGUACGUGUUUAAAUCAGCGCAUUACAUGCUGCAUUUGGCCUUCAUGUACUCCCGGCUGCUGCCCGGAGAGGUGGCGGCGGUAGUAGGUGUCCAUGCCACAGCCGCGUGCCUCCGCUGCGUCGCCAUGGUGGUGAUGCUACACUGGGGAAGCGGUGAGGGGGGACGAGACCCUGCGCCCUGACGAAGUCAAAACACUCCUGCAGCCUCCGCCUCUCGAACUUGGCAAACCGCAGCUCCGCGCCUCCGCCACCGCAGCUCGCCGUGUACACCAGCUUUAUCAGAGUCCCUGCGAACAAAAAGAAAAAAAACCCACGAGUCCAUCCCUCCACCACGACCGAACUACUUCGCGCGUGAGAGAGCGAGGAAAACCCGCGAGCCGAUGUCGAGCGCGAGGAGCAGGGGCGCGGCGGGCUGGCGCGGGAGGUACACGGGCGGGAGGGGAGCCGCCGCCGCCUCCACCGGAUCUGGGAGGAGGGAGGGGAGCCGCCACCGCCGCCGCCUCCACCUUCCGCGCAGGAACCGCCUGGAGCCGCCGCCGCCACCGCCCUCCGGCAGCUGCUCCGGCCGGAAUCCGCGCCGAGAGAGGAGAGGUGAGAGGGGAGGUGAGGGAAUGGGAGGGAUACCUGCCCCGGCUCAGACGCCGCCGUGAAGAGGCGGAGACGGAUGCCGGCGCUGUCGGCGGCAGAUCCGCCGCUCCCGAGCCUGGCAGCGGCAGAGACGGAGGCGGCGCGGUAAGCGGUGAGGGGGGGAGUAAGCCGGAGAGGAGAGGAGAGGAGAGGAGAGGAGAGUAGAGGAGAAUGGAUGGUAGUGUGGCGGCUGAGGGUGGAGAGAGAGAGAGGGGGGAGGGGUGGAGAGGAGGGUUUUAUAUGGGGCUAAGGUUAGGGAUGGCGAUGAGAACUAUUAGAUCGGAGAUGGACGGUCAGAAAUAGUUGGGCCAUUUGGGCCUAAACAUGAAUGAUCUUAUGGUAUUUUUAAUUUUAAUUUAUGAACAACAUCAAAUUUAAUUUUAGGCUGCUUUUUAUGUUUCAAAUGCAAAAAUCACAAACAACAAAAUUUUAGAACUCAUCGAGAUCUACAACUAUUGUAUUGGUCUUUUUUACAAAUAAGUUCAUUUGAACAAUUCAAAUUUUGAAUUUUUAGAAUUUGACAACUUCGAACAAAAAUUGGGGUUAAUAAAUGAUUUCAAAUGGAAAAGUCACCUAAAUUAAAGUUGUAGAACUCAUCAAGAACCAAAAUUUCUAUUUUGGUAAUUCCUCAAUCUAACUCUAUUUAAACAAUUUGAAAUUUGAAAUUCAAAGUUUGAGAACUUCAAAUAGAAAAUUUUAUUAGUGAACGACUUCAACUGAAAAAAGUCAUCAACAACAAAGUUGUAUAAUCCAUCUAGAUCUACAAUUCUUAUUUUGGUCAUUUGUUCAUCUGAUAAAGUAUUUUUUAACAUUGUUCAUAAAUUUUACAAAUCUUCCAUAUGGUUUCAUAAAUUAUAAGAGAGGUGUGUAAAUUUUGUGAACAAUGUUACUAUCACUUUAUCGGAUGAAUAAAUGACCAAAAUAAAAGUUAUAGUUAUUAAUGAGUUAUACAACUUUGUUGUUGAUGACUUUUUCAGUUGAGGUUGUUUAGUAUUUGAAAAUGUUGUUUAAAGUUGUCAUAAUUUGAAAUUCAAAUUCAAAUUAUCGAAACAAAGUCAUAUAGCAAAAUGACAAAAAUAAAACUUAUAGAUAUUGAUGAGUUAUACAACUUUGUUGUUGAUGACUUUUUCAAUUGAAAUCAUUUAGUAUUUGAAAGUGAUGUUUGAAGUUGUCAUAAUUUGAAAUUCAAAUUCAAAUUAUUGAAACAAAGUCAUAUAGAAAAAUGACCAAAAAAAAGUUGUAGAUCUUGAUAAGUUAUACAAUUAUUAUUGACAAUUUUUUCAUUUGAAAUCUUUGCUACCUGAAAAGUUAUUUGAAUUUAGAGGAGGGAGGUAAAAUGGACUUUUCGGCGAGGGGUAGCAAAAAGGCUGGGCCGGCGGCCCGAAGAGGGAGGAAGAGGGAGAGAUAGGCUGCGGGCUGAGGGAGGGAUAGAGUAAUACUUGGGCUGAAAAAGGCCCAAGUACAUAGAGAGGAAUUUUAAUUUGUUUUCUAUUUAUUUUAAUAGGUUAAAUAAGUUUUGUGGUAUUAAAAUUAGUUAUUGAGCUCUGAAAAUUCACGAAAAAUUUAAAAUAAUAAUUUAGACCACGUAAAAUAUUACAAAAAAUAUUUCCGUCCAUGAUUUUUAAAGGAAAAUUUUAGUUUCCUCAUUAAUUCACUUGAUUAAAUUGCGUUAACUUUUAAUACUCCAUCCAUCCCAUAAUGUAAGGUGUGCACAUAUUUCAAGAUUCAACUUUUAAACAUUUGGCCAACACUUAGUAUAAUAUAAAAUAUUUUAUUUGUUAAAAAUUAUAUCAUUAGAUUGAUAUUUAAAUUUACUUUCAUAUGAUUAUAGUUUUGUUGCUAUAAAUCUUAUAGUAUAUGAGAAAUUAUAAGCUAAAUAUUAGUUUUGGAGACCGUGCCAGCUUUUACCGCGCCUUAUAUUAUGGGAUAGAGGGAGUAUAUUUUUUUCAA